UCUUUUUUUUUUUUUGUUUGGGUUGGGCUUCUGCGGUUAUGAACACGGAAAACUCUAGGGGUCCGAAGAGGCGUAAACGGAGCAAGAAUGCGGAAAAUGGGUCGAAACGGAGGCGUGCAAAUAUAAAGUUGGCUGCCUUGUGCGAUCAAAGCCGUCAACAGGACAGAAUCAGAAUGGACGUAUAUAGAAUUUACACGAAAGAAUGCAUUGUAGCUAAUGAUAUGCUUUCAGAAUUGUUAAAAAACUACCCCUCCGUCCCAAAUUACUAUUCGUUUUGACUUUUCUACAUAUCUAUAUAUUUAGAUGCAUAUUAAAAGGUUUAUAUCUAGAAAAGCAAAAAACGAAUAGUAAUUUGGGACAGAGGGAGUAAAUAAGUUUAUACUACUCCCUGAAUGUAUUGAAGUUGGUUGGCUUAAGAACGUUACAGAAGAAUAAAGGCUCUAAUCAAACACAAGCACGAACAUCCCAAGAGGAAGACAAAAGAAGAUACAUAUGCAAACGCUUGGAUCAUUCUCUUCCAAGACUUCGAAAAAAAAACAGAGACUUGAGAUUAUUGGCACAAAUAAAUCAUUGCAAGUUUGCAAUUGCAACGUAACUCGUGUCAUGCGCACAUAUUCUUGCUUUUUCUCGUGAGGGGGAAGGCACUCAUGUUCAUGUUCAUGUAUUAUUAUCUAUCGUACUAGUGCAGAUCAUCCCUCAAAGAUGGGGAAAGAAAAGAGAGAUCGAGUGCAGAUCGUAUACGGCCGGUGUCUGAUUCGUGAUCACAAACGGUACAAACUUUGUAUCCAAACCGUUGUACAUACGCGUACUACGUAUUUGUGUUGUCAUUGUUGGCUUGUCGGUAGUGUUCAUUGUUCAUUGCAGCGCUCCUUAUUAGCUGAAAUGCAUGCAAGUCUCUUGCAUUGGUUAAAAAUUAAGGGCAACCGAGCGGUCUAGGAGAGGGAUUAUUCAAGCACCCCAUAUACUUUGCGUACGUAUAGUACAUCGCUUUACUGCCGCCUGCGAGCUAUCAAUGUAUUGUUUUUUGUCUCCAACGGCUACACCGUACAUACACGUACACUAGACAGUUCAACAGGUUGCUCUGCAUGAGCCCACAUGGUAGACUUGCUAAGUUACCACUUACCACUAGACCUGCAACUAGUUCAUAAUCCUGAAGAAAAAGCGACGCAACCACUUUGAAUGCGAUUAGGGAUGGCCAGAUAAGAUGGCCUUGGACUAUGUUUUACCCCUUAAACUAUGCUAUUUGGUUCAACUUACACAUAAUGCAAUUUAUUUUUUUAUUUCUCCAUGCACAAGUUCAAAUUUUAAUUUGAGACUCUGUAAGGGUGGCAGUGGACAUCGUAAUCUAUAUUAAAAAUAUUUUAUGAAUUUUUCAUCAUUAGGUUAUAUAUAUUUUUUAUCUUAAAAAUAAAUUUUAUUAUUUAAUAUCCUACCUAUCAAAAUAAUGAUAAAAAUUUAUGAUCUUGCAAAAUUUGAACUUAAGACUCCACCUGUGCAUGGAGAAAUAAAAAAGACAAAUUAUGUUAAGGUGUAAAUGGAACCAAAUAGUAUAAUUUAGGAGGUAAACUAAACCAAAAUAUAGUUUAGGAGGUUAUUGGGCCUUUCGUUAUAUUUGAGGGGAGUAAUUGGGCCUUUCCCCCUUCAAAUAUGAGGAAAGAGAGCAAGUGCAGAUCGUAUACAGUCAGCGUCUAAUUACUCGUGAUCACUUACAAACUCCAUGUCCAAUCCAUUGUAUGUACGUGUACUACAUAUUUGUACCGUGUUGUUAUUGUUGGCCUGCCGGUAGUGUUCGGUGUAUCGUGACAGUGCUCCUUAAACGAAUGCAAGUCUCCUGCGUUGGUUAAAAAUUACGGGCAGCCGGCUUGUCUAGGAGAGGGAUUAUUCAAGCACCCUGUGUACUUGCGGACGUGCAGCACGACGCUUUACUGCCGCCUGCGAGUUAUCAAUAUACUGCCUCUUGUCUCCAACAGGUACCCGUACGUACACGUACCAUACCACUAGACGGCUCAACGCCUUGCUCUGAGCCCGCAUGUAGACUUGCUAAGUUACCAUUUACCACUGGACCUGCAGCUACUUCACGAGAUUAACAGCUAGCAAUCCUGAAGAAAAAGCGACGCAACCACUUUGAAUGCGAUCAGGGACGGCCAGGUAAAGAUCUGGGGUGCGCGAGCGGCUUCCUCUUUACAGGGCAGAGGCGCACGGCCGCUGCCUGCAUGGGACGAAUCCACCUCGGCACCUCGCUUUGCCGGCGUUCGUGCAGCUUCCGUCGCUCUGGUUGGUCUCGGUCCCCUCGUGUGUUUGUGCGCUCGAUCUGCCACCGGUAAACAACUGUGCAUCGUUGGGAGGGCACGGGGGACAACCCCUUUUUUCCUGCAAAUUCCAUGUGCCAUGCUGCCAUCUUUGUUUGCAAGUACUGAAGUACAAACAUGCGUUGCCUCAGUAUUACGAGUGGAUGGCAUUAUGGCAAAUGGCAUGAACACAUGCAGACUCCAAGGCCCAAGCUAAGCUAGAUACGGUCAUGUUCUAAUGCUGAAAACUUGUUUUUGUGCAGCUAAUAUAGAUCCAGUUAUCAUUGCUGUUAUUUUUUGUAUAGCCUUUUUUAUUUUAUCUGUAUGGAAGCCUUGUGUCAAAAAGAGAGCAUCUAGCUAGGCAGCGUGAUUUAUUUAUUUAAUUUAAUCUGCCGAAGAACUCUAACUGACUGACCUCGCGCUAAUAACCAGCCAAGUAUCAUGGUCUGAUCAUUACGGGCAUGUUACGCCGAGAGGCGCAGACGCGACCAGUCGCGUGACCGGAUGAAGCCACGCACUCGCCGACGACCCCACCGCUCAGCGCCGCGGGGAGCCGCUCGUGGUCCCACCUGUCACACUCACGCGCCGUUACAACCUGUCGGUGCGCGUAGCGGAGGUGGAGGCUCCCUCCCUCCUGCAGUCCUGCUGCUACUUCCCACCCGAAAACGAAACCGCAGCUCGCUGCGCCACUCCCUAAUUAAGGCCCCACUAAUUAAACCCUGCCUUCCCCGCUCACGCUCUCCUACUACCGACAUGUGGGGAUCCUGAUACAUUGGACCCACACGUCAUGGGGUGUGGCUGGGUCUGCAAGGUGUGGCUGAUCCCCGCCGCAGAAGGUGUCAGUGUGGUCAGCAGCUUUAAAAUGAACCCAGCCUCAGUCCCGAUGGAGAAGAAAACAAAACGGAACAGCCAGUGGAAGCCGCCGUGCCGAGGCGGACGGGAGGCUACCAACUCCGCCGCAGCCGCCGCGGCGCAGAGGAAUGCGGCGAGGAGCGGUGGGGCCGCCGCUGCAACGGUAGCUAGCUGCUGGGCUCGGCUCGGAGCGCGGGAGGGGAGCAAUGAGGGUGUGGAGGGAGGGUGCGGGGUGGUGCUUCUGCUCCGGCGGCGGCGACGACGGGGGGCGGUCGGAGCGGGUCAAGGCGGCGAUCUUCUCCGCGAGGGCCUCCGCGCUGGCGGCCAUCAAUGGGCAGGGGCACGGCAGCGGGAGCGGGCUCCUGAUCCACCGGAACCUGCUGCUCACCACGCACGGCAACCUGCCCUCGGCGGCCGCCGCCGAGGACGCCGAGGCGCGGCUCGUCCACGGCCGUCUCGUCGCCCGACUCGAGCCUCACAGGUGCGGAACUCUUCUUCCACCUCCUGACCUGACACCUUCCAAGAUCGCUCUGCACUUGUCUACGAUUGCUUGUGCUUGUGUGGGAUCGGAGGCUUUGGUUAUCUGGCUCUUGCAGUGAUUGCAGUGUGAUUAGCCUGAGAUCCGCCCGCUCCGCCUGCGGCCGAGCUAGCAUGACGAGUCGCUGCGAGCGGAGCCCCACGCGGCGGCAUUCGGCGGAUUCGUCGGUUGUGGUGGGCGAGCUGUUGCUAGUGCUCAUGAUUAGCCGUAAUGCGGCUGAUCAGGAAAGGGAAUUGCUUCUGAAUUGUGGGGUUUCUGUUGGGUAGUUAGUAGUAGCAAUCUUCGAUGUAAUGAUAGCGCCAUGAGCAACACCUCCAGCAGGUGCCCACAAAGAUGGGCGGUGUAAAUGGUGCCUUUUAGUUGUAGCAAUGGGCCCUGGUAUUUUGGAGAAGGUUUGCAUAGACCUUUCUUGGUUUUUGUUGAGUAUAGUACUGUUUAAAGUUUGUUUCUUUUCUUCCUGAGAAAGUCUUUUGAGGGCAUCCAAGAAAUUUUUUGAGUUAUGACACCCACAAGCGAUAAGUGGUUCAUGAUGGAAAAAAGUCAGCAACCAGCAAUCUUGGAUCAUGAAAAGUUCAAAGCGCCCUGUUUGUGCAUUUUAUGUCACCUCAGAUGAACUUUGCUCCUCAGUCAGAAACUGGGUCUGAAAAGCUGAGCACAUUACAUUUGUAUUCUUUUUUUUUGCCUCAAUAAAUUCUACAUUAUAGCCUUCCCACUACUUGUUGUUUAUGAAACAAGCCUGAUGUUCGUCUGAAAUGAUUUUCUUUUUGCACAGAUUCUUCAUUACAAGCUCAAUUCUUGACCUUACAAUAGUGGGUCUUGAUUAUACAGAAGGCGACUCAAAUCUGCAGAGUCAGCAACCUCACUAUUUGAAAACAUGCUGCAAACCAAGCCUAGAUCAUGGAAGUGCUGUGUACCUACUGGGACAUACGGGGAAAAAGGAACUGGUGAUUGGUGAGGGAAAGGUAGUUAUUGGCACAGACAAUCUCAUAAAGCUCGCAACAGAUGGGAUGACAUGGUGCCCUGGGUCUGCCGGUUUUGAUGCCCAAGGGAACCUAGCUUUCAUGAUUUGUGACCCAAUGAAGCUGGCCUCUUCUCCGGCUGCAAGAUCAUCCUCAGCAUCCUCGUCCUCAUCACAUUCGUGGAAGAAGGACCACCCAAUGCAAUUUGGGAUCCCCAUAUCUGUGGUUUGCGAUUGGUUGUAUCAACAUUGGCAGGGCAACUUGGACGAGGUUAGCAAGCCAAAGUUACCUCUUGUUCGGUUGAUGUCCAGCAGGAGUGAUCACUCAAGCACCUCAUUCACUCGUCGUCAUGUGUUCAAGCCUGACGACGAGAAUGAUGAUGCCUCUGUUUGUUCAAAGCCUAAACAUCAGCAGGCAUCAGGAAGCUCAGCCACUGCAAGGAUCUCGCAUGAAGCGAAUCCUCUAGUUGAUCUGCGCACUAGCAGCGAGCAAGGGAUUGCGACGCCAGAAAUAUAUGAAUCGCCAAGGCGAAGUUCUUGCCAGGCUCACAAGGAUGCUGCACCAGUUCAACUUUUGGACAUCAACUUCCCGCCCAGGGCUCCAAAGACUAUCUUUCUACCACUGCCUCUGAAGCAAAUGCUUUCCGAUGAGAACAAUGUCGAAACAUCCAGGCCAAAAAACCGAUCGAAAGGCAAUGGUUUCCCAUCAGGACUGAUAUGGCACCGUAACAGUGAGGCUGAGUGUAGGGACCCUCCAGUAGCUCUUCGGCAUGAGGAUUGCAGCAGUGAGGGGCAGUCGAGCUCAUCACCUGUUGAGAUACUGGAGUAUGGAGGUCAAGAUAAUUAUAGCAGCGAGGAGGAAACAAUGUACUCAGCUGAAACCAUGGAAAGCAGGAACAUUCCAAGCCCCAGGGAAAAGCAUGUGGGGAGGAGCCAGAGCUGUGUCACCUACAGCAGGUGGAGCUCUCCAAGAACCUCGUCGAUGCAAAACGGAACCUUGCGAAAGCAGCAUACACUGAUCCCUGUGCGGAAGACACACUCGCAGAACACCGCUCUGCCGCAGAGGAGUCAUGACUAUUUAAGCCCAACGGUCUCCUCAGCUAUGAAGAAGAGGAAUUCCAUGGAACAGCAACAACCCACAAAGCCUCGUCGGAGCGCUGUUCAGUCUUCGCCAAAAUGGAUGUUUUGAUGGUUCUGCACAUCUGGAUUUGUGGGUGGUGACGAUGAACAAAGAUUUGCCGUUUUGGUGGGAAUCUAUUGCUCCUAUGUUUCCUUCUCAAAGCUUAUCUGUAAGUCGAUGCUGUCUUCCUUGCUUUCUCUCUAUAUGAGACUCUAUGCGCAGAAUGGCUUGGAUAAAUAAAGAGAAACAGAAAGGAAAAGAAAAGGCAGAAAACAAGAAGAAAGAUUACAGAUCAAAUGUGUUGAGGGCAUCAUGUGUGAGCUCGCUGUGAAGUGUUGUUAUCCUUGUGUGUAGACUGGAUGUCUGGAUAAGAACUGUUACAGACUGUAGUAUUCAGCUUACGGAUUUUAACUAAACAGUUUAAUGAUGAUAUUUGUUUCUUUUUUUUUUGUUUUAUCCAUGGACAUGAGGACUAUAAUCAUUUUGUUUGCUGUGGCAUUGCGGUGAUGUGUAUGUCCUGAAUUGAAAUCAGGAGUCUUAAUAGGUUUGAGGGUUUGGCUACCAAGUGAGUUUUUAUUUUCCCUUUUCACUUUACUACUUGAAGCAGAUACUGCUACAGAUCUGAAUACUUUUUUUUUUUACCAGGCUACAGAUCUGAAUGCAGUUGAGGCUUUAGAGUAGAUAAUAUUGUCCGUAAUGCGUUGGUAGUGUGCCAGACUACAGCAAUGUAAAUAGCAUUUAUGGUGAAUAAUGUGGCAGAGUUCAUUGUGGUCCUCUACUCCUCUCCUGUUUGCAGUUCAACAUAAUAGCUUGGGGCUGUCACCAUUAGUCUGAUAGGAUCACUGACAGCCGGACGCCACCUGACUGAACCUGACGGAAUUUAUGUACGCAUUUCAGUCAUUUAGACUGAAAUUCAUCAGCUUCCUCCCUCAGAAUUCAGAAAUCCCUGGCUGAAAAAAUUCAGCUCCUACUGUGAUCAGGCACCCACACCAUUGGUUUUGCGAUGCCUCUGCUUUGUGUACGUGACGAGUGCUCCAUUGCAUGACCUACAGGAUUUUGCACAACCGACAGGCUUGAUUCAUGAACCGUGAUGCUGCGAUGAGCAUCUGGGACUCUGGGUUGCCUGUGCGACGGCAACGUCAACAAUGCCAGGCAGGCAGCUGGACCAGUCACGACACACACCAAGCACGAGAGGUCAGGAGUCAAACCUGGGCAAUGAAUCCAACUAGCAUGCAUCGGCACUGCCUCCUGUCGAGUAAUCUGUCUCCAGGCUCCGUUGAUGCCCUGCGCACAUGGAAACGCUGCUGCCACUCUGUCCCACAGGGACAUAGCACGCUCAAUCAUUUCUCCAUACAAUGCAUCUUCUAUUCUUUUCACAUUACAUUUAUACUUAUAUUCAUAUAUGUCAGCGUAUCACGCUCAUUCAUCUCAACAUUUAGGAGUCACCUUCACAUAAACACCUGCAUAUGUUUCCCGAAACAAAGACACAUCUCCGUAGCAUCAGAGUAUAAUUUACCCCAAAGGCUCACACAGCUAAGCAUAUGAAUAGCUUACAGGUUAUUCCAUGCAGAACGGAAGAUAAUGAAUUUGGGAAUGAGAUGAGAUCCAUCAUGCUAGCUUUUGCAGCUGAAAGUCAUUGUGUAAUCAUGAGCCUUAAACUGAACCUUUUGUAUCAUGAACGAGAUUAGAUGCAGGAGUUGCAAUGAGAAGAAAGGCAGAGGUGGUGUAGUAAGAUGCAAGUUUGAGUACUUCUGCAGCCAACGAUCAGAGAUGAGAAGAAAAGUUGCAUCUUGAUUACUUUGGAAAGAUUUGCACAUGAGCUAAUCAUUUCUUAUGUGACUCAAAACAUCACUUAUGGGCAACUUAGGCGCUACUUUUUUUUUCUUUUCCUUUUGGCAUGUUUCUGCCUUUAUCUUGAACAUCCUGAAGGAACUCUCUUUUACGAAAAAGAACAUCACAAUUUGGAAAUAAACAUAUAUUCGUCUGGAAAAUGGAUUUCUAAGUUCUAGCAACAUAUUAGCACCAUCAGCCAGCUGAAAUGUCAGAAGUCUUUUCUUUGAUAAAAAGUUAAGCCAUUCCAUACAGAAUUUUUGACAACAUAAUUAAGCAAACAACAGAAUUUUCUCAGUCAACUUCGAAGCAUGGACAUAUGAUGAAUGUUUAUGCAUAUUCACUUUGGCAGGCAAUUAUACAUCCUCUGUGCAGGAAUGGAGGUGCACUGCCACUGCAACACCGGAGUCAUGCUGCAAGUUCCAGAAAUAACUAAGCUUCACCAGCAAAAUAAAAUUCAUAGCUAAACUUAAGGUCAAUUUGAAAUGCACAGGGCAUUAUGCAACUUUUCUUCUAACAAAUUGACAAGCAGAAUGUCUUUAAAACUGGGUAAUAGUAGAAUAAAUGUGAAUUGGUCAGACAUAAAGCGCACUAACAAUAUUUAAUUAGCGUGUGUUGUUGAUGGGCAAAUUGAAGAACAUGACUUGUAAAUAUCCCACAUAUUUCAAAAUUGCCAAAUCAGUGAAAAGAACAUGGUUCCUGAAGCAUGACUUAUAUCAGCAUAGCGUGUAGCCAUAAUGUAGGAUCUGUCAAAUAUCUUGUGAAGACAGAAAAGAGCAAAGGUGGGGAACAAAUACAAUAGAUUAGCUGAUAAGGUCCGGUCCAUCCAGUCACUCUGAAAAAGAGCUGCCACGAUUUGACGAGCCAUCACAUUCCACAACACGAUCGGGGGGUGUUUGGUUCCGCGGACUAAAGUUUAGUCCCUAUCACAUCGAAUGUUUAGAUACUAAUUAGGAGUGUUAAAUAUAGACUAAUUACAAAACCAAUUGCACAGAUGGAGGCUAAUUCACGAGACAAAUCUAUUAAGUCUAACUAAUUCAUGAUUAGCACAUAUUUACUGUAGCAUCACAUUGUCAAAUCAUGGACUAAUUAGGCUUAAUAAGGCUUAAUAGAUUUGUCUCGCGAAUUAACCUCCAUCUGUGUAAUUGAUUUUAUAAUUAGCUCAUGUUUAGUCUUUCUAAUUAGUAUGUAAACAUUCGAUGCGAUAGGGACUAAACUUUAAUCCGUGGAACCAAACACCCAGUGAGACGCUAGGGAUGGCAUCCACUAAAAGGCACUAAAUCCCGAAACCUAAAGAAACCAUUAUUCCAGCUAUUAACUAGCCACUAUCAACAAGUAGUAUCCUAGUCAGACAUCCAUGUGUCGUGUCCAAAUGGAUAAACAAAAUCCCACAGGCAGAGGAUAGAGAUUGCUGAACACCCUAGCAGUGAUCUCCAAAUCAAACCAACCCCGUCCCUUUUUUUUUCCUCUCUCAAACAAAUCUAGUGUAGCAACUACACCACGUAAUAAUGAUCACAUCAAAAUACUAGCUAGAAGUAACAGCAAUUGCCACUUAACUAAGCAGGUGGGGAAUUUAUACAUAUUCCUUACUACCCCACUCUCUCAACUCUUACUCUGACCAAUUUAAUGAAUCCCGCGGGCGACAGCAGCAGCUGAGCAGCCGCGUCAGAGGUUGCAUCCGAGGCAGUCGCAGGACUUGGGCAUGAAGGAGCAGUACCCGAAGGGGCGGUUGGGGAUGUUGCAGUUGAUGGCGUAGCAGCAGGGCGCGAGGACGCAGGUGUGCCUGUCCCCGCCGCAGCAGGUGCAGGGCGCGCAGAGCUGGAAGCUCCCCCCAAGCCGCCGCCGCGUGUCGUUGAGCCCGAGCGCCAUCGCGCCCAGCUCCCCCUCCGCCGGGGCCACCGGCACCAGCCCCCGCCGAGAAGGCGCCGCUCCCUGUGCCUGCGCGCGGGGCAACAUGACACAAUGUGAGCGGAAUUGCAGGAAGUCCGAGCCAGAUUCGGGGGAGAUUCGGCGAUUGGAGAACGCUGGCGUACCUGGGAGCUGCUGGAGGCCGCGGCCGAGGAGAAGAGCAGAAACACGAAGAGCGGGAGGAGCUUGGGCAUGGCUGCUCGGCUAGGGUUUUUGUCCUGGGUUGUCGCGGUGCGCUGUUGCAGCGGGGAUUUGGAGUGAGCGAGGAGCGGGUGGGAUGGAUGGAUGGAGGAGGGAGGGAGGUUGAAGGAGGUGGCGGAGUGGGGUUGGAGGGAGGGAUCGGGAGAGGGAAGCUAGCUGGAGGAGGAAGUGAAGUGAAGAUGUGAAAAGGCGAGGGGCGCCUUGCCUGCCUCGGCUUCUUUUCGGAGAAAGCGAGGGCCGCCGGCUCGGGAUGGGAGAUUUGGAUUUGGAAAUGCGCCUCGUCGUCUCCCCGUGCGCACACGCACCAGCUGGCGUCAUGAUCUCUUGGCGUUGCGAGGGUUGAUGGCAUUUUGAGGAGUUACCGCAGUGCUGACCUGACCCAGCGCCAACAGCGGUGGCACGGGAUGGAGAAGGGCGCUCGAGCCUCGAGGACUCGAUCGACGUGCUUCAACGCUCGACGGGGGAUCGAGCAUAAUAGGUUACAGCAACAUGGUUGGGUGACAUUUUACGGGGAUGCAAGAUUGCAAUGCAAUGCGGGAGAUUCCUGCAGGGUUUGACGGCAAAUUGCUAGUGGUAGUGCUAUCAGAUGUAGACGAAGAAGAUGGGGUCCGACCGUCCGAGUCGCAGUGCUGGUACACACGCGUGAGCUUGAUGGACGAAUCUGUCGGGACCUUGGUACCGAGCAGGAUCCGGUGGCCGGUCCUGACAGUCCGCUGGAUUUACCAGGUUACGGGGAGGGAGAUCCUCCUCUGCAAUGAUUCCGCAGGGUGAUCUGCCUGUCCAGUCUACUGCCACGCCUAACUGUACAACCAACCCGAACGCGGGACCAAGAUCACAACAGAAACAUCCCUUUUAUCUUGUCCGUGUGGUUUGAUUUCUCGAUGCUGCCAUGCUGGAGAUGUGGAUCAUCUUUUGAGUCUCAGUGCUUCUUCUUUUUUUUUUGAUAAAGAGUCUCAUUGCUUCUUUGGUUUGAGUUGCUUAUUAUAAGCAACUUAAAGUUGCUUAUUUGAAGUUGCUUAUUUUUAAUAUAGCUGUUUGGAUACCCUUGCUUAUGAGCAUUGAAUGAGGUGGAUAUUGUCAUAUUUGCCUCUUGUGUUGCUACCCCUCUCUGCCUCCACACGCUUCUUCUUUCCUGCACACGCUUGAUCCCCGGGGUCGACGGCGGGCAGAGAGUAGCAGCAGGUGACCGGUGGCGGCGGCGGGGCGGGAGUGGGAGCGGCGGGCGGAGGCUGGCGGUGGCGGCGACGGGGCAGGAACGACGGGCCAGGGCGGGAGCGACGGGCCGACGCGGGAGCGGGGGAUCCGGCGACGGGGAAGGGGAGAGAGAGAGGAGUAGAGUGCAUUGAAUGAGGGCAGAAGGUGUAAAGUGCACCUUUUAGUCCCCAUAAGCAACUCUUGUGUUGCUUAUUUGCUAAAAAUAAGCAGCCCCAUAAGCAACCCAAUAAGUAAGGGUGAUUGGUUUCAUAAGCAAAUAAGUUACUUAUUUUAAGUUGCUUAUGCAUAAGCAACUCAAACCAAACAGGCUCUCGGUAUUGCACUCUUGCUGUAGGCUGUAGGGAUAAACUGUUCAAAGCAGCAAAUCAACAUUCACAGCGAAGAAUGAAUCCAGGUACCUGCCUAGUGUUGCCACGGCCCGCAAAUGCAGGUUUCAAAUAAAUCCAUGCGAUGGUAUAAUUUGUAAUAUUGCAGAAGAAUGAUCACCGGCAGGCUUCGGCUCCUUUUUUUCGGAGCAUUUCCUACCUCGCCAACUGUUAAAUAGUGCAGCAAAGUCAAAUAGUGCAGGCACACGAAAACUGGAACUCUUCCUUUAUUCAGAUUGCAAUAGGUACUCCCAAAGAUCUGGAUUAACAAAAAAAAAAGGGCUGUACAUCUCCGGUAGCAACUCAAUUUACAGAACUUGAUUCCGGCGGGGAGUUAGGAGAAACAUUCACAGCGCCUGAGACGACGCGGUGGAUUUUAUACAUCACAAGGUAGGUCAACAGAAGAAAAAAAAGGCGUCUAGGAUGCGUAUCCAGAACCAGAUGGGGAUCCCAGAAGGCGCCGAGCCAUAGGUACAUUAGUUGAAGCGGAUGCAGGAGAAGCUGAUGCUGAGAAACCAUAAGCGUAGACUCCCAUUGGAGCGGUCAUUGGAUGGUCGAACUUACAGUUGGCUCCAAACUUGCAGAUGCCAUAACGUGAAUAGAAUUUGCAGAGUUCUUCACCCUGGAAAAUAAACAUAGGAUGGUGUAUCAGCCUCUCAGGACAAUCAAAGGCAGUAGACCAUUCAAGGAAGUGCAGCAAAAGGUCUAGCUAAAGCCUAAUCAUGAGACACUAUAUGUAAGCAAUACCCACUGUUCAUUCAACAACUUGUAUGUUACCAAAUCAAUAAACAGAUAUACUUAGAGUGUGUUUGGUUGCAUGCACCACUUGAUGUAUGCAUGGAUGAUCCUAGAUGAUGGAGUUCAAUCAAUUUGCUCGUACCAUAUGGUUCACUCUUAUUAGUAGAAUAAUGUAUUAAGUGAGAUGGCUUCAUCCUGGAUGGGUUGAUACAAUUCAUCCAACAAAAAAAAAAGGAUCAUUAUUAUUUUGAACAAUUCCAUACAUGAACAAAUGGUAUAAGCAACCAAACACACCCUUAAUACCUGCCCUAGAAAAUUAAUAACUUCUGACAAUGCUCUAUUCAGUCCAGUCAUCAACAAUGAUGCUUGUCUACAAUAGUGGGCUUAGUGGCUGAGCCCUCAAAAGUUUUUUAUGAUAAAACAGAGCUCAACCAACACAUAACAAGAAUGGUCUAAUAAUGGUAUCUCGAAUCUGCAUCUUAAGCUUCUUCAGUAGUGUGCAUUUUUUGCUACGAGAACAAAUCAGACAUCAUUUGCAGAAAAAUCAUGCCACUGCAAAUCAAUCAUCUAGCUGAGAAACAGCAUGUACAAAACAUCCUUCAUUUUCUUAUCUGCCACAAAUCAGCUCUUUAUACACACGCAAUACAUCUUUGAUUUUAAAAUUCUCGGACUGCAGAACUGCCAAGCAGUUACAUAGAUGAAUAUUCUCAACAAGGAUGUGAUCUGUGAGAACAGCAUCCGCUGCUUCUCUCCCAAAAAGAGAGGUACAGCCAUCAAUGAAUGCAUAUGCAAUACAAUUGACAAAACGUCUAAACGAAUGAUAAAUAUAACAGAAACAGUGAAGGGUUGUGGUUAAUGACUUACUGGACGAAUUGGAAGACCCAUUGGACUUAAGACACAAUCUGGAGGCGGCAGUGAUCUCACCCUGGGAUGAUGGAACUUGCACACUGCACCAAAUUUACAAUCUCCUGUCUUCAUGUAAUAUUGGCAUUCUGGUUGAUCAGGUCUCUCAGGAAAUACAUUCUCUCUCUGCAGCGCAUAUUGAGGCACAGGAAACGAACUAGAUCUGUAGGGUGAUAACAUUCCCUGGUUUCCUGCGCUAGGUUCCCCUUGUUGAGAGGUUCCAUAGGUUUGUUGAGCCCCUGGUGACUGCAGUUGACCCUGAGAAGAUGAUACAGAUAGCAUUUGGCCCUUUAGAGACAAGUAAAAUCAGAAACUAUCUACUACCCUAAAAUUGGCUCCAAUAAUUUAUGUAAGAACAGGUUUCAGUGUCACAAAUUAUGAAACAGAUUAGAGAAAAUCAUUGCCUGAUAUGCAAUUUGCAGAAGAUCAAAUAAGUGGGAGAAACAAGUUCAAAUAGCUACAGACAAUACUUUUGCACUCCCUAUUCUUCUAGGGAAUCUCUCAAGACUCCGUGUUUAACAAAGUUUUGAAGGAAAUUAGUAGAACCAAUUAGUGCAAAUUGCAACUGCUUCAUGAUUUAAAAUUGCACUGCAUUACUAGAGCAAAUGAACUUACAGGAUAUGAAUUCCAGCUUGGCACUUGAACAAGACCCUGAGGUACAAUCAUUGGUGCAUAAUUUGAAGGACUUUGCCAUCUGGGGCUUGGGAUAUAAGAAGCUCGUGGAAAAGCCCAACUUGCCAUAGUUCCAGUAUAGGAUUGCGGACCAGCGCUUGCAGAGGAAUGUACAGAAGGAUAAAUAGGAGAACCACGUGAAGAAGGCACCGCAUUGAAAAGUUCCGGAUGGUGGAAUUUACAAGUAUUUGCAUAUUUACACUGUCCUGUUUUUAAAUAAUAUGCACACUCCUUUUCGUUCUACAAAAGUAAAGUGGACUUCUUUUCAGUACAGCAAGAAGAGACAAGCAUAGAAAAGGAAGGAUGUAUAACUGCCAGCAAACGAACGAACCGGGCGGAGUGGAUAUCCUAAUGUGUUUAGCUGCACCCUUCCUGCAAUUCCAGCCUUUUCCCUGGGAUGGUGAAAUUUGCAUGUUGGGCCAAACUUGCAUGUUCCGGUCUUCAGAUAAUACUACAUGAAAAAUGUUCAGAAAUUUUCAGCUUCGAUCUUGCACAAAGUAUAACCUAAAGAUUGUACGAUCAAACACAAAUACCCAGGGAAAUGUCAAGACUAACAGAAAUACCCAAAUGACUAAAGUAUGAGUACAAUCACAAUCCAGAUUAUCGUUCAGAAAUCUGAAGACUAUGCCUCAGUUCCAUUCUAGCUGCAUGAAUAACUAAGGGACCAGAACAUUGAUCUCUUCUGAUCUUGUCUAUAACUAUAUGAAUCUUUUAGCUACAUUGAUAUUCUUGUCUCUGCUUCUUUUUUAAUUGAAAGUGUAUGAACCAGCUAAGCAAUUUCUUAAAAUCAUCCUACAAGAAAAACAGAACAGAUUUGGUCAGUGACCACAUAGGUAGUGAUUGGUAGGCUGCACUAGUUGCUAGCCAUGCUAACUUUAACCCAGGCCAAUUUUGACCAGGCUAAAUCAAUGCAAAGUGCUCGUGUUUGGUUUGGUGGCUAAAGAUAGCCUGGUUUGCUAUGCUCAUGUUUGGUUGGCUGCACAAUGUGAUAAGAUGACCCUGUAUUUCCUGGAGUUGAAGUUACCACCCAUAUCUCUCCCUCUUCUCUCAUCUGCCCCGUCCUCGCUUCCACCUAGACGUGCCCCGCCACCGCUGACAGGCUCCUCGGUGCCCCAUCCCCUACCUCCAUCAUCACCUCCUUCCCACUUCUCCUCCUCCAGAGCUCGCUCUCACUCAUGCGGUGGUGGAGGUUGCGGCGAGGCCUUCAGGUGGAGGACUUGAGGAGCUUCGGCGAGGCUCAAUCGAGUUCGAGCACGGCCCAAUCGAGCUCCGGCGAGGCUCAAUCGAGCUCGAGCACGGCCAAUCGAGCUGGGCACAGACAAAUCGAGCUCCAACAAGGCUCCUCCUUCAUUAACGGGUGCUCGUCUCGCCAACCGAAGCGCUGCUCCCGCGCCGGCCGGAGCGCCGUGCUCCCACAGCUCCACUCCCGUGGCAGCUGCAUCGCCGCUCCCGCGCCUGUUUUUGCUCCUGCGCCGACCCAAGCGCCGCUCGCGCGCCUGGCUGCGCUGCCGCGUCGGCUGCAGCGCCGCCGCCACACGGGGCUCCGCUGCCGCGCCGGCCUGCUCAAUGGUCGGAGAUGGAAAAAGGGGAGGUGAGGUGAGGAGAUGGGAAAGCUACGGGAGGUGAUGAGAAAGCAGAGCGCCAGAGCCAUAGCUAAGCCAGCCUGCAUUGCUGUAAGCGGAUCUCAUUCUUGUUUCCAGUAAGCCUGGCUAGUACCCCUCCCCUACAUUAGCUAAGCCUGGUUAAAGGUCUUGUGCAUGCUACCAAACACAGUGAAGCUGCAUUAUGGGAGCCUGGAUAGGGGCUAUGCACCCUACCAAUCACAACCAUAUGGAACUGUCAACCACAAAACCAUUGCCACAAGUAAUACUUUCAUGACUAAAUCAUGUUUCUGAAAACAAUUACCACAAGUAACACUUUUAUGACUACAUCAUGUUUCUGAAUGAUAGAAGUGUUAGUUAUCAGAAUUACCUGACAUUCUGGCUGUCCCACUCUCUCAGGAUAUUCUCCCUUCAUUCUGGCAGAGGCAAUAGCCUAAAAUUAAACAGAUUCAACCUAAUUUGAGAACAAAAAAUGGGAUAUAAAGUAAAGAAACAACGAUUAGUUCAAUAAAGAUGUAGAUUUUACAAGGAAUAACUAGCACCAACCAAUGCAAAGCAUCAGUAAAGAACACAAUAUCAUAGCUUGCGGAGUAACUAAAAGCAAACUAUAAGACAAAUAGCUGCCUCUGUCCCAUUAACUUUGCUAAUAUGGAAUUGAGUUAUUCUGGCAGAUUGGGAGAAAACUGACAGCCACAGACAAUAGAUCAUAAACUAUGCUUCAAGAUCAUAUCACCAUACAAAUAGAAAAAAAAAACGAGUCACAUGGGACAAAUAGCACCAAGCUCACCAUAACAUGAACAGAUAGAAAGAAGGAUGGAGCACAAGGGAAAAUUAAUCAUAUUGACACCCUGCAAGCUAAAAACACAUAUUAUUCUGCAUUAUAUUUACAAAUUGUUUUAUCUGCAACACACCACAGGACUAGCAGAUAAACAGAAACAUCAAACAGCACAUAAGACAGGUAAGCACCUCAGGCAAAACCUUAUCACCAGCCUACUGAAACCUAUAUCUUUGUGUGUUUCCCAAUGGAAAAGCUUUUAAAUAUCAAGACAUGCCAUCACAGCUUUGCUUUUCAAACAUUGCUCCUUGCAUUUUGUUCAGUGGUGCAACAUUAAAUACAUCAGAGAAGGACAAAACUUAUAAAGGCUUUGGUCCAAGGGCAAAUUCUUCAAGACUACACAUGGUUCUACAAAUAAUGCUGAAAAUGUACAUAAUAACAGGACGCCGGAUAAUAGCAAAAUAUCUGGUGAUCCAAGAAAUAUGGCACAUAAAGAGUUUGUAAAAGAAGAUACUCACCAGAUUCCUAUCCGGAGGGUGAUUGAACCUGCAGCUCAUGCCAAAUCUACACAAUCCAGUCCUGAGGUAGUAAGUGCAGUCCGGUUCACCCGGCCGCUCAGGAUAUGGCCCAGGUUGCAUAGUGGCACCGCUGUUCAUGGCCAUCUGUUGCCACAUCCCCUCUGCAAUCAACAUUGCACAUACACUCACAACUUGACUAUAAACCAGUAUAGUUUGAAAAACUGAGAUCAACAUGUGUGUAAUGUGAAAUUUUCACUUUAGGUCUCUUUGAGUGAUGAAGCCAUCCACAUUUUUUCCACCGACGCUAUUCAUGCAAAAAUAACCUCCAGACAAGAACUAAAUCAUCAAUACCUUAUAGUUGUUCAGCAAAUUUCUAAGAAAGCAUCCGUUAAAUCCAGAUGCUAGACAAGCUAUAGCAAAAGGUAGAAUCCUUAUAAACUAGUCACAGCAUCACACGGCAAAAACCCCAAUUGGCCCAAUUCCACGCCGACGCGAAGAUCAGGCACCAUACAAAACUGCAGCUCUCGGCACCGCUAAAGUAACUGGGAUUAGCAACCCAUGGUUGACAACAGAGUAUUCCAGGAGCAACCAAUGAUUCCACCGAAAAACAUACGGAAAAACAGAGCACCUGAGCUUAACCUACACGGGAAAUUAAGCAUCGAAACCCCAAUUCACCGAACCGCACCACAGUUGGAGCGCGAGUGGAGAGAGGAGAUGAAGCCCUAACCUCCAUAGAGCGCGGAGGGGUCGGGGGAGGACGUGUCGGCGGCGGCGGUGGUGGCGGAGGGCGGAGGAAGCGCGGGUGCGGAGGUGGCGGAGACCGUCACCGCCGCGGGAGCGGAUGCCCUUCCGGCGUCGUCCAUCGGCGGAGAGUGGCGGUGUCGACUGCCAUCACGCGAUCAAGGCGGCGGGAGGAGCUGCAGCUGCCAUCCCUGGGCUCCGGCGAGGGAGGGGAGCAGCGAGUGAUCGGUGAAGAGAAGAGAAGAACAGAGAGGAGGGCCCUGCCCCUCGUAUUUAUUUCUCUCUCUAUUCUCUCUCCACCUUUCGGAGCCGCGGUUUGCUACGUGCACUCGCGCGUGGCGUUGUAGUGCAACACGCGCCUCCUUUCUUUUGGGUUGGCACGGGAGAGUGUUCAUGGCGUGUUUGGUUUAUGUCAUUAGCGCGCCGAAUACCACAUGUUAUUGCAGCAAACCGUGGGCGGGUUUGAUUCAUGUCAUUAGCGCGUCGCAUACCACACGCAAUUGUAGCAUAACGCAGAUGGGUUUGGUUGGUGCCGUGGAUUUAGCGCGUCAUAUUGCUAAUGCAGCCACAUGGCUCAUUUCGAGCGUCAUUCGCCGCAGCUUAGCCGCAUCCGCCGCAUAGUACGACGUAUUAACAUCAGCAUCCAAAACAUGCUUCUAAUCUUUGUUAUUUGAUUUAAAAAUAAGUGCGGUUGAAAAUAUUGAUGAAAAAUAAAAUUACGCAACUGUAGUGCUUGUCAUUAACUUUUAAGUGUUAAUUUAACCUAGAGAAUAAAAAGAAAGAGUGAUCAAUAGAGUUGGAACAGUUCCAACAUAUAUCAAUAGAGUUGGAACAGUUCCAACAUAUAUUUCAAUAGUAAAUUGUAGAGUGUAAAGUGAUUCCAUCUCAUGAAGUUUAUUUAUGGAAUAUGGAGUUUUUAUACGUGCUUUUUCAAGUUAAGUGGCAAUUAUCACCAUAUUAUGAUGAACAAAGUGAGAUAGAUUAGCAUUGGACCUUGAUUUAGGCAUCAUCGCUCGAUUAUCUUCAAGAUAUACGCUUGGUAGAGGCGUCAUAGGGUACAAGUGGAUUGUUCUAGUUCAUAGAUAUAAUUUAUUUUCAUUCCAUCCUUCUACUUUAAAAUUUUAGAUUAAUCUACUUUGAUGCAUUUCCGUGUUUUUCGUUCACUAAUAACCCAAAGAAAAGGAAGACAUGCAUCCCAUGCUCAGACCAUAUCACCAAUUACUUUCUCGUAUAAAAAAGUGUCUAAACCCCUAUUUACUUCAUAUACGCGGAAAUAACUUAGGCAAGACAAAACUACAAUAUUAACGAACAACAAAUGAAAAUGGAACGGUAAAAUAGGCAUUUCGAUCCAUGAACUUUGCACCAAGGGUCAGGUUCGUCCCUCAACUUUUAUAUUUGAUCAAUCUAAUCCCUCAACUUUUAUUUUUGAUCAAACUCAUCCUUUUUGCUGAUAUGGAGCUCCAUAUUAGCAUGACACUGAUGCAAAAAGUCCUUUAUACCCUUAGAUCCUUAUUUCCCUCUUCAAUUUUCACUGAAAUAAAUAUGAGCAUAUAAGUAUGAUCCAAAUGUGGAGCAUGUGUACCGUACCGUAAGUAUGUGAGCACAUGUCAAUUUUAAUUUUAAAGCAUGCUUACAUAUACUGAAUUGUAUAUAUACCAAAAUAAUAUAAGUACAUACUUGUUUGAUUACAUACAUUUUGCAUAUCAAAUUCUUAUAAUAUGCAAAAUGUACGUAAUCAAAUAAGUAUGUGUGUGUGUAUACUGCGUAUAUGCAUGAUUUAAAGAGUAUGAGUAGAUAUUUAGAAAUCAUAUUUUGUGUUAGUUAAAAAAAUAUAUUAUUGUGUGUAUGUAUUAAGGGAGUAUGAGCACAUACAUGUUUGACCUACAAGAGCCAAAGGGUAAAAGUGACUUUUUGCAUUAGGCUCAUGCUAAUAUAGAGCCCCAUAUAAGCAUAAGGACGAGUUUGAUAAAAAACAGAAGUUGAUGGACUAAAUUGGUCAAUCUAAAAGUUGAGGGACGAAUUUAUACCCUAGUGCAAAGUUUAAGGACCACCGUGUCUAUUUUUGCCAAAUGGAAUGUAAGUCCAUUUCCCACAAACCACGUAACGAAUCCCGGUGGUGCACGAGCCGACGUGCAGCUAGCAAUUUUGCAGUGCUCUUUUGUAUGCAUCUCGCAGUGCGGGGCUGCUGCUCAUUUCCGCCUUUUCUUUUCUUCCUUUUCCCUUUCUCCUCAAGCUCGGCCCCGGCUUUUAUGCGUUCGUUUCCUGGCCAUCUUUUUGUUCGGGUGUGAAUUGUGAGGAGAGGAGCAAGGGCAUGCGACCGGAGUGACCUCAGCCAGUCGUUCCAGCUUCCCUUCCCCUUUUCCCCCGCCGCGGCCCCUCUCCCUUCUCCCGGCUUCUGGCUUUUUCCCCUUUUUAUUUCCGCUCGAUCGAUGCCCGCGUAUCUCCCCUCCGCUUUCCAAUUUUCUCCCCCCUCUCCCUUUCGCUCGUGGUCACCGACCACUUGUGUCGUGUGCGAUUCCGGCGGCUUUGGGCCUACGAGCCCGGUCCUCUUCCUACGGCUCGGAGUUGGAGGUGAAGUGAAGCGAAGCCGAGCUUGCAUGCACGCGACGCGAGUGCCGCGCGUCGUGCUGUGCGGCGGUGGUCUCCACGGGCCUGGGUGGGAGUCGAUGGAUGCGCCAUGUCGCCGUGCCGCUCGCUGCGGCGGCGGUCACUCGCGCCGCCCGACCGUGGUGCUGGAACGCUGGAUCACACGGGAGCCGGACGCGUGCGGCACAUCAGAUGCGUGCGCGCGCCACUUCCGAAGGGAAAAGUGCGGCGGCACCGCGGCAGGCACGAAAUCUCGCGGAGUGGAUUUCGUCUUCCUGUGCCUUUCGCAUCCCCUUCGUUUCCUUCACGAUCACAACCGGCGAAAAAAAAGAGAGAAAGAACAAUUGGGUGGGUGCUAAAUGUCGCAUUGGUGACUAGGUGAGGCCCAUGGGCCUAACAAUUCUAUUGUCCGUCCACGGAACAUUCUUUUGGGUGCGAAUAGACCAUUUUACAACCGCAAACAACUAUUUGUUCUCGCUAAUAAAAAAUGUUCCGUACGAAAAAAAUAAGUGUUGAAGAAGAAAGAAAAGCUUGCGAUGUGUGGAAAAAAAACAUAUGACAGUCACAUAUGCGACAGCUAACAAGCCCUUCUUGUGUAGCGGUUUGCGAUAUGCUCCACGACCAGGCAUUCUAAAACAAUAAGAGUGAACAUGCAAAUAUUUUUGGAGACCCUAAAGAUAAAGAUGGACAGACAAUUCACUCGAAUUGCAUUUGCAGCCUUUUCGGAGCACGUCGUCUCCUGCAAGUCCCAACUUUAGGAUCGUGUUAUUGGAAUGUUCUCAAUUAGAGUGGAUCAUAUAGGUUAGUUACACCUCAAUCUCAUCGAUUUUUACAUGACGUCUCUCGCAUUAGUUUUUCUAUUUACAACACAUGAAACCUCAUUAUAUCAAUAUCGUGAAUAUAUAAGGAAAGGACAACAUCUAUAAAAAUAGGGCACAUGCCCUCCUCCCACAAACCCCAAGUCCCUAACCGCCGUAUAUGGAUCGAAAUGACCUUAUGGGUUUCAACCUUCGACGCCCGUAUCCGAGUCUCAUCAUGUUCACGGCACUGUGGUGCCAAGUGCCAACCCCAACAUACCCAACAAAGCUACCCUCGUGGAGUGGAUUUCUUCUUCCUGUGCCUUUUACAUCCCUUCAAUUUCUUCUUAAACACAAUUUUGGGAAAAAAAAUAAUUUUAAGUGGCUACAAGCCCUUCUUAUACGGCGGCUUGCGAAAUGCUCUAGAACCAGCAAGAGUGUGGACACGCAAUGUUCUUUUUUGAGACUCUAUUGCCAAGGUUACAAUGGAGAUGUCAAUCUCUGGUUGAAAUGGUAAAGAUGAAUAUGUGGACCAACCCCCUAUUCAGUGCACGUGGUGUCAGUGUUUAGACCCGGCAACCUACCGAUGGGGCAUCUGAGGUAGUGUUUAAUGUGUGGGGCUUGCCGAAGACCUGGAACUCGAAAGUGAACUCGAACACACGAUUUAGACAAGUUCGGGCCGCUUAUGUCGCGUAAUACCCUACGUCCUCUGUGUUGGUUGGAUUGUAUUGAUUGAUGAUGUUUGAAGGGGGUCCCUGCCUCGUCUUAUAUUGCCGGGAGCAGCAUUACAAGUCGGUUGUUUUACAAGAGUACUAGUCGGAUUCGACUAGAGAGUCCUACUCUAAUUGCUACGAGUAUUUUUCUAAUCCUCGACUAGUUCUUGUCCUUCACGUAGAUCACGCCGUCCUGCUUCGUAGUCUUCAUGUCCGACAUGUCUCGGUGUGCAGCUCCGUAUGCAAGACUGUCCAAGCCUCCCGGUGGACCUAUAGAUGUAUGGCUGACAUGUGGGCUCAUGCAAAAGCCCAACAAUUCUAACCGGGCCGAAACCGACACUAUUCACCCCCGGCGUUGGGCUUCACCGCCAAGCGAAUCGAUGACGAAAAAUGAUGGGCCCCUCUCAUCAAUCAACUCUUCUUGUCAGGCCGCAGGCCGAGAGAGAGAAAUGGAGAGGGUAAAAUGGUAAAAUAUGUGAGAACAGCAUUAGUCUACGCUUGUUAUUAGGGCAUUCACAAACAUCGGUUCUGCUGCCAUCACACCAGGACCUUCGUAUUAGUGGCAGUAUAGCGCCAUUUUUACUGGUUUAACUGCAGCAGAUACCGUGGAACUCGCAGUCCGGCACACUUGUCUCGGCCUCAGCUCAGGUCUGCGCAUUGCACUACUAGACACGAGAGGACGUAGUAGAGCAACAGCAAGCACGACAGGGGCCAGAUUCGAUUCGAUGGCACGGCAUGGGCGCAUGGCGCUCGCCCUGCGUCCCUUUCCCGUGAUCGCGGUUGCAGACGGGGCCCCCACCUCACAGGCACAGCGACUCGCGCGCGCCCUGUGCGCAACGCAACAUGGGCUACAUGGCAACAUGCCACAAGCUGGCACGUGCCAGCAGCCAGAGCCCGGGGACGAGAGGAGAGAAUCUCUCCCCCUCUGGCUCUCUCUCCUCUGGUCUCUCUCUGCACGAGGAGUCGAGCAGUUUCCCAGUUCCCUUCCGUCCCGCUUCUGCAACUGCAAGCCUGCACUAGCCACCAGCUGCACUGCUCGCCGCAGAACCCUGAACCCCCUGUGGCCCCCGGCCUGGAGUCCGCUGUGGUGGGGACACCGGGCAGGCGGGCUCCAGCUUUUCGCCAUAAAGAAAGAAGACUCUGCCGUCCCAUCGGCAUCCCUGACCAUGCAUGAGCUCGUUCAGUACGGGAAAACAUGCGUUAAUCAGGAUUAAUUAGCGAAUUAACCUUAUUUAUGUAAUUAUUUUUAUUAUUAAUCUAUGUUUAAUCCUCCUAAUUGUCAUCAAACAUGAUCCGAGUUAAAUUUUAAACAUUCCCUCAAGCCUCGUGGUUCCACGGCACGCCAACCACUCCCACCCAGGCACCCACGGCAGAAUUCUCCGCAGGUUAUCCAUGCCGUCUCCGUCAGGUCCGGGCUCCGGUACAUGCAGCCGAUCACGAGCCAUGAACACAAGGCCCCAAGUGGCCAAGCCGUGCGCACCGCCGCGCGUCGCGUGGAACGGUUAACUCUUGUUCUGGUCCGGCCGUGAAAAAUCUGAUGGUCCGCCUGCUGCGUGGCGUGGCGUAGAGUGUUGAAUGCGUGAUGGAGGGGGCCAAGGCCAAGCGACAGGCGUUGAAGCGGAGUGGAGCACGUAAAGCUGCGGGGGACAAGCCGAGGCAGAGACGGCAAGCGUCCAUCCGUCUCCCUCCCUCGUAGCCCUCGUCCUCUGCGUUUCAUUUUCAUCGCCACGCGCCCACGCCGCCCUAGUUCCAGAAGCAGCGGCAAAGCCGGCAAGCCAUUGCCACCCAAGAGAGAAGGAACGACCGGGGAGCUCGUGAUGAAAUGAAAUGUGGAUGCAUAGGGGUGUUAUUCAGCUGAACUGGUUAACUUCGAAGCUGGAAUGUGUGAAAUUUUGAACCAAGUCGAAUUGUUCCCGGUGAGUUCUGGUGGCAUCUUCUCCGUAGAAUUCUUGCCGCGCAAAGGGCAUCCAUGAUCCAUCCAAGGGACAUCAACACGAAGGAACAAUCAUGCGUUCAGUGCCAACCUUUUUUUAUCGUCAUGCACGAUAAAGAGAUAAACUGGCAGUAGGCCAGGCCAGCAGCAACUGAAGAUUAGAUCAAAGCAAGUCCAGUCACAGUCAAAAGGGAGAAUAGAUCAAAGCUGCUCCGAGCCGUAUGAUUGUGCGACCCACCCGAUCCGUGCCAAGUGCCAUCAUGAGAUCGAUCGCUGCCGUGCUACCCAGUGGACCCUAUCGGCUAUCGUGGCCGCUGCUGCUCUGAACCGACCGGUCCCGGCUCGAGCUGACCCGACCUGGCCCCGUACCCGUGCUGCACCGCACCGCACGGCACAGUGCCCGUACGCGAUCCCAUCCAUCCAUCUGCCCGUCGGACGGGUCACGAACCGUUCGGUCCCUUCGCGUGCUCGCCUCUCCGUUCUCUCCCACUGUGCGGCUGCGCCCCGCUUGGCGCUUGCCUUCACGGUUACAGCUUCAGUUCAGUUCGGAGCAGGAGCUCUCUGGCCCUGCCGCGAUCACGGGCUCGGCCGCCCGGCGGUGCCCGUGAGCCUGUCUGUCAGCUGGGUGAGAAUCUGCGCGGUGCGGUGAGGUGGUGUGGUCCUCGGCUCUGGGCGCGCGGGCGCUUGGCGUGUCGAUAUCACCCCGGCAAAAUGAGGCAAGGGGUUUAACGAGCUAGGUGCCGGUGGCAGCACCUCCAAUUAGUAACCAGUGAACGUGGGCGACGCAGCUGGAGCUUUUGACCUUUGAGAUUUGGAGCCCUUGGAACUUUGAAUUGGGGGGCUUCUGUUUUUGUGGAUGGACCAGUGAUCUGCAUGCGUCAAGCCGAUUUGAUUCUGUAUCUAUUCAGAGCGAAGCCAUUUUUUGAAGGGAGGUGGCUAGCUACUCAAGUCCAAUCAGAUACGUAGUUUCUUUUGCGGCUCCAUUUGUGCUCAAAUUCUAGUUUUCCGAGUUCAAUUCAAAUGCAUUUUGGUGAGCAAGAACGUACGGUUCUGUGAUGUGAGGUGACGUUGUUACGAUUGGGGUCACAGUAUUUUGUCCCAUGCGUGGCGUGCGCACGUUCAUGACAGUUACUUUGGCUCUAAGAAGAGACGAGCAAAAGAUGCUGACAAGAAGACACUACAAUCAACUACUUUUGUUCUUACCAUUCAAUGUUUUUGUUCAGGUUGUGCUUAGUUUAUUUGACUGGAAUUCCAGAAGAGACCUGCCAACGCUGUUAUUAAAUGUACCAUAUACUAGAAAUAACGUCAUAAUACAAGAUAACUCCUCGUUGUUGUUGGGCACAAUAGGUGAUUGCAAGACAAGGGGAAAAACAAUGAUGCAACUAGAGAUCCAAGCGUAGCAAGAUCGUAGUGUCGCAUGGAGUCAUCUACUCAUCUACCCGUCUGUUGCUUUUUUUUACAAAUAUGAAACUUUUGAACAAAAGAAAUAGAGAAAGUAUUAACGAUGGACCAUGCAUAAUAAUGAAAUAAACACGUGCACAAUUAAAAUGGCAACCCUGUAUAAUCACCUAAUCAAUCAUGUCAUGCCGUGCUAAGCAGUUGCGUGUAGUGACUCCGGGCAGGAGAAUGAACACGUAUCACCGAACUGUGGGAACGGAAGACCACCAGCUAGAAACAAAACAAAUGCUAAAAAAAAAGAGCUAGAAACAAAACAAAACAUAAAACGGACGCGACCGCGCCUGCGGCUUUUUACCGAAAAGGAAGGCGAUAAGCACAAAAAAACGAACGCGAAAGCCAACACCAAAAGGCAACCAGGAAAACCCACCGGCUUUUCCUGCCCAGCACCGCCUCCCUUCCCUCUCCCCCCCUCGUCGCCUCGCGCACGCACCCUCCCAGUCCCCAGUUCGUGAACUCCCCCACCGCCCCGUCUCGCCGCUCGCGCCUCACGCCUCCCUCGUGCCCGCGCCACGCCCACGCCCCGCAGGAGCACACGGCACCGCCGGCGGCCGGCAUUGCGGAGUCCCCGCGACCCCCGGCCGAGGUAACGCAUGAUCCUCUCCUCUCCUCCCCGCUUCUCCCUCCCUGCUCGCUACUGCUGCGGCGCUACGAGGCCUGCGAUAGACGCUGCGGUGUGGCCUUGCGUCGUGUGUGCUCGUGGUGGUGGCGUUGUUCUGCUACCGAGUUCUCUCGCCUGGUUCGUUCUCGUUGCAUCCUCCCACUUGUUGGUGUGCUCUGCGCGCUUGUUCAUGUCCCGGGCAGCGACGGAGUGCGGGGAGGACGAUGCGGUGACAUGGCACUGCCGCGGCGUGGAAUUCUGCCGUUGCAGUCGUCCGGUGGCGCCACCGUCGGGCUUGAUCCGGAUAAAAUCGUUGGGAGAGGAGUAAAGGGUUCAGACGAUUUGGGCGCUGUUUGUACUUUGUAGCCUUUUGUUUCUGAUGAUUCUGUUCUUCGUGGUCUAAGGUUUUUUUGGUUUAAUUCUUUUGCGAUUUUUUGGCUUGGGAAAAAGGCGUUCCUUUUGCUCCUCCAAAUUCCGCCCCCAUUUCGCUCCCCGUGCCGUGGCUUCAAUUCCUUCGUGCUGUCUCGGGCUACGUGCUAGCAGUGGUAGUACUGGCUGUUGUUUUAAUGGAAAUGCUGCUAUUGAAUGCGACUAUUUAAUUGUACUUGGUUGGUCAGCACACCCACACUCCCCACACGGACCCAUAAACAAAUCACAACCCAAAUGAUGGCCUAAAUCAGAGGGGAAGAAACAUACCCCAGCCGUCAUGCCAGCAGUAGUUUGAGUAUCUAAGAACAGGUCAUAAAUUAGUGGGUUUAUGGGAUUAACAGUUCAUUAACCGGGUCAAGACAAAAAAAAGUCCGUGUCUCACUUGCAAGUUUCAGAUAGCCCCCUGAAAUUUGUAGCCACUGUGGCUAUUUACAUUGUCUGUUGAUCUGGUCCAAUUCUGUUGCUGGCUUCUUCCUGUCAGUGGGGACUGGGGAGGUGGGUUAAGAGAUUCUUGUGGGGUUGUCAUGGGGUUGAGUUUGCGGAGAUUCUUGUGGGGUUUGCUAUGCUUGCCUUCAUUUAAUCUGCAGCGGCGCAGGAGUAAAUGACAUGCCAGUGUCUAGUGUUUUGUCCACUUGAAUUUUGCGGGUGCCUAGUCACUUGUGUUGGAGCUUGCGGGUGAGGUGAGAUUUCAGGCAAGAUGUUGUGUGUGGGGGUAGGCUUUCCUGUGCCCUGGAGUUUGGAGAGUGUGGUUGCUUCUUCCGAGCUUCUGUGGGGGGAGGCGGCAUGCCUGUCCGCCUUUAUGAUGAUCGGUUGGUUUUGUUUCAUCUGAUUAGAUGUAAAGCUGUAGCACGCUGGAUUUUGGUGUGAGAGAUGGUGUAGUGACCCUUUCUUUUCUUGUACUACUAAAAAAUAGUCGAGGGCUUAUGAUGGCUGCAUUCAUGGGCUUCUUGUGCCGGUCUGCCCUGGUUCUUUGGCUUUAGGGAGGGGUUUCCGUAACUUCUGCUCUUAUUCGUGCUGAUCUGAGAUAGGGAUAGACAUGAUGAUGUUGUGCCUUUUGGGGGCCUAGCAUGGUACUACUGCUCUGUAUCUUUGUGGGAGAGAGGGUGUUAAACACAGCGCCAUGGGCAUUUUCCAAAGCGUCUUGACUAGAUUUUCAUACUCUGAAUUUCUAAGGGAGAUUGAUAUUUAUUUUGGAACUUUCCGCUUAUACUGUGUGAUGCUCUGAUUGAAGUAGGAUGGGCGUAUUUGCUACCUGGUACCUUGAGCUGAUGAUUAUAUGAAGCUGAGUGUUCCAUCCUUUUGUUUUCUUCAGGGCAUGUUUCUGGGAGAUCAUAACGCCCUAGAUUGAUUAUGGUUCGUCUGUUGCACUUCUUUGGUAACUUGUGAGAACAGGAGAAAAGAGCCAUAGUUCCAAAGGUAAUUUGGUUAGUUCCUUCUUUUGAGCUGUAUGCUGGUAGUUGUGGAGUUGUCAUUGUGUUAUGCACCUGCAGUGAUUGAUAGGACUCUGUUUGAUGUCUAUCAUUACCUCUAUUAUUUUAAGAGGAAGCUAUCAAAUGUAAUGACUUUCAACCAAGGCUAACCAUCAUAUAUUAAGUAUAUUGACAUGGCUUUGACCUUUUUCGUCCAGGAUGUGUAUUAAGUAUACAUUGUCGCUUGGUUGUUGCUCCUUCUCUUCUGCGCCACUUGAAGGAAGAAGACUGUGAAAUUAAAAGGUAUUGACAUGCAAUUACUGUUCCAUUUUGUCCAAAAGUGCAUUCAGCUGUCUUUCAGUCUUGCAAAUUUGCAAACAUAGCUAGGGAAUUGCAUACAUACAGUUCUGGCAUUACAAAAAUUAGGCAUUAUAUGUUCAAAUUCUAAACUCUGAGAAGGAGAUAAACAAACAUAUUAUUAAUGGUCUCCUAGUCGUUUUAAUUUGUCUGUGCUCUUCUUUUAUGACCAACAUAAGAAGAAAUCUUAAUGUUUUGUUGGAGGCUUUUGUUCUUGGACAUAAACUAGCUAUUCGUUUUAGGAUCUGGCUGGUCCAAAACAUUUGAAAACCAGAUUGCCUCUUUAUUUGACUUCUUUUGUAUGUUGAGGAAAAGGUCUAGAACAUAUUAUGUCCUGCAGCUCAUGUUACAUUGACAUGAUAAAAUUAUGCUAGACUUCUGUUUGGAUCUUUUGCAGUAAUAACUUGACUAUUUUCUUCUUGCAGAUUACAAUCAAAACUGUUGGCAAUGGGAUCCCAUGGUUUCUUCACCUUGAUCCUACUUGUAUGUUUUAUCUCAAGCUCUGCCCUUGCUGGACAUAGUGAUAUAAGUACCUUGGUCAACCUGAGGGACGCGAUCACUGAAGGGAAAGGAUUUCUCAGUAACUGGUUUGAUUCAGAAACACCCCCAUGCAGCUGGUCAGGUAUAACUUGUGUGGGGCAUGCUGUUGUGAAAAUAGACUUAUCCUCUGUGGCAAUUUAUGCCCCAUUCCCGUCAUGCGUCGGGUCGUUCCAAUCACUUGUUCAUCUCAACUUCAGCGGUUGUGGGUUUUCUGGUGAGCUUCCAGAUGCUUGGGGGAACUUGCACCAUCUCCGGUACCUUGAUUUGAGUCAUAACCAGCUUACGGGGGCCCUUCCUGUCUCAUUAUAUGGACUGAGUAGGUUGGAAGAACUGAAGCUUGACAAUAAUUUCUUUUCUGGGCAAUUGAGUCCUGCAAUUGCACAGCUUCAGUACCUUAAGAAGCUAUCUGUAUCCAUGAAUUCCAUCUCUGGUACCCUUCCUCCAGAGCUGGGCAGUCUGCAGAAUCUGGAGUUCCUGGACCUUCACAUGAAUGCAUUCAAUGGGUCAAUACCAGCAUCUUUGGGUAAUUUGUCUCGGCUGUUGCACCUUGAUGCAAGCCAGAAUAAUCUUGGUGGGUCAAUAUUCCCAGGAAUAACUGCAAUGGCAAACCUUGUGACAGUCGAUCUCUCUUCAAAUGCCUUGGUGGGGCCACUACCUAGGGAGAUUGGUCAGCUACAGAAUCUUCAAUUGUUAAUAUUGGGACAUAAUGGUUUCAGUGGAAGCAUUCCAGAAGAGAUUGGUGAACUAAAGCUGCUGGAAGAGCUUAUACUCCCCGGAUGCAAACUCACAGGUAUCCCUUGGACAGUUGGUGGUCUCAGAAGUUUAAAGCUACUCGAUAUAUCAGGGAAUAAUUUUGAUACUGAACUCCCAGCAUCUAUUGGCAAUCUGGGAAAUCUGUCUCGUCUACUUGCAAAGGGUGCUGGGCUCAGUGGGAAUAUUCCGAGAGCACUUGGUAGCUGCAAGAAGCUUGUGCAUGUUGAUCUGUCUACCAACUCCUUUUCUGGCUCUAUACCUGAAGAACUUGCAGGUUUAGAAGCCAUUGCCAAUUUUAAUGUGGGACAGAACAAUCUGUCUGGUCAGAUUCCAGAAUGGAUCCGGAACUGGGUGAAUCUUCGCUCCAUAUCGCUGGGGCAGAACAUGUUUUAUGGACCCCUGCCAGUGCUGCCAUUGCAGCAUCUGGUUGCUUUCUCUGCGGAAACCAACAUGCUCUCUGGUUCUAUUCCUGUUGAGAUAUGCAAGGGCAAAUCGCUGCAGUCGCUGAUAUUGCACAAUAAUAAUCUGACUGGGAAUAUCAUGGAGGCAUUUAAAGAGUGCAAGAAACUUACAGAACUUAACCUGCAAGGAAACCAUCUUCAUGGUGAGAUACCCCAGUACUUGUCUGAGCUACCACUAGUAAGUGUGGAAUUGUCCCAAAAUAACUUAACAGGGAAGCUGCCUGAAAGUUUGUGGGAAUCAUCGACUAUUCUGGAGAUCGCACUCAGCUACAAUCAGCUUACUGGCCCUAUACCUGAAAGCAUAGGUAGGCUCUCCAGUUUGCAGAGGCUACAAAUCGACAGUAACUACCUGGAAGGAUCUAUCCCGCGGUCAAUCGGCGCUCUAAGAAAUCUGACAACUCUCUCUUUACAUGGCAAUAGGCUGUCUGGGAACAUUCCACUAGAGCUCUUCAACUGCACAAACCUUGUUACCCUGGACCUGAGCUCUAACAAUCUGUCUGGCCACAUCCCAAGGGCCAUAUCUCAGUUGACAUUUCUUAACACCCUGAAUUUGUCUAGUAACCAGCUGUCUGGUGCUAUACCUGCUGAGAUCUGUGUCGGAUUUGGGAAUGCAGCUCACCCCGACUCGGAGUUUACUCAGCAUCACGGCUUGCUUGAUCUUUCAUACAACCGAUUGACCAGUCAUAUCCCAUCAGCGAUCAAGAACUGUGCUAUGGUUACAGUGCUAAACCUGCAGGGAAAUAUGCUGAGUGGCACCAUUCCACCAGAGCUUGGUGAACUGGCAAAUGUUACAGCCAUCUAUCUUUCUGAUAACACAUUAGUUGGCUCGAUGCUUCCCUGGUCUGCACCAUUACUACAACUGCAAGGCCUUUUUGUCUCUAAUAACCACUUAGAUGGCUACAUUCCUACUAAUAUUGACCAAAUACUUCCCAACAUUGCUAAGCUAGAUUUAUCAAGUAAUGCAUUUACUGGGACUCUACCCGAGUCUUUACUGUGCGUCGAUGACCUGACCUAUCUGGAUGUUAGUAAUAACAGCCUCUCUGGACAAAUCCCAUUCUCAUGUCCUAAAGAAAAGGAAUCCUCAAGCUCACUGAUAUUCUUCAACGGAAGCAAUAACCAUUUCUCAGGGAACUUAGAUGAGUCUAUUUCAAACUUCACAAAACUGUCUUCUCUCGAUAUCCACAACAAUAGCCUCACUGGAAGUUUGCCUUUUUCACUUUCUGGUCUCAGUUAUUUGAACUAUCUUGACCUCUCAAGCAACAACUUCCAUGGCGCCAUCCCUUGUGGCAUCUGCAAUAUAUUUGGCCUCACAUUUGCCAACUUCUCUGGUAAUCACAUUGGCAUGCACACCUUAGCAGAUUGUGCUGCAGAAGGCAUUUGUACUGGAAAUGGUUUUGAUCAUAAGAUGCUUCAUCCAUCUGAUCGAAGAGUUCCAAGAGGAGCAAUUGUUUGUGUUAGUAUAAUCAUUGCCAUUGUUGUCUUAGUGGUUCUGGUGGUUCUUGUGAGAUGGAAGCUAUUGAGAAACAGACCAUUGGCUCUUGUACCUGCCAGCAAGGCCAAGGCUACUGUUGAACCAACCUCAAGUGAUGAACUCCUAGGGAAGAAGUUUCGAGAACCCCUGAGUAUCAAUCUUGCAACAUUUGAACAUGCACUUUUGAGGGUCACUGCAGAUGACAUUCUGAGAGCCACAGAGAAUUUCAGUAAGGUGCACAUCAUAGGGGAUGGUGGGUUUGGCACUGUCUACAGGGCAGCACUUCCUGAAGGCCGGAGAGUCGCAAUCAAGAGGCUUCAUGGUGGUCAUCAGUUCCAAGGUGAUCGUGAGUUCCUGGCUGAAAUGGAGACAAUUGGAAAGGUGAAACAUCCUAACCUUGUUCCUCUACUUGGCUACUGUGUGUGUGGUGAUGAAAGGUUCUUGAUAUAUGAGUACAUGGAGAAUGGGAGUCUUGAGAUGUGGCUCAGGAACCGGGCUGAUGCCAUCGAAGCACUUGGAUGGCCAGACCGCCUGAAGAUCUGUCUCGGUUCUGCCCGUGGGCUUUCGUUCCUCCACCAUGGCUUCGUGCCCCAUAUCAUCCACCGUGACAUGAAGUCAAGCAACAUUCUAUUGGAUGAGAACUUUGAGCCGAGGGUCUCUGACUUUGGCCUUGCAAGGAUAAUCAGCGCAUGCGAGACUCAUGUCAGCACUGACAUCGCUGGUACGUUUGGCUACAUACCUCCAGAGUACGGCAUGACAAUGAAAUCCUCUACCAAAGGUGAUGUCUACAGCUUUGGUGUUGUCAUGCUGGAGCUUCUCACUGGACGCCCACCUACAGGGCAAGAGGAGGGGGAAGGGGGUGGAAACCUAGUUGGCUGGGUGCGGUGGAUGAUUGCACAUGGUAAGGAGCAUGAACUGUUUGAUCCUUGCUUGCCAAUAUCAAGCUUGUGGCGGGAACAGAUGGCCUGUGUGCUUGCCAUUGCCCGGGACUGCACUGCUGACGAGCCAUGGAAGAGGCCAACCAUGCUGGAGGUGGUGAAGGGCCUCAAGAUGGCCCAGACAAUGGAAUGUGGACCUCCGGUGGUGACAAUUACUAGGGACGUGUAAUGCCGGAGGUGAAUGUUUUCUUGCUAUUGAUGUAAUAAUGUAAGUUCCUUGUAGCUGUAGAGUGAGCUGUCCGGUGGCUGUAAUGAGAGAAACUAAUGCUGCUCAUGUUCAGGCUGUAGUUACUCAUGUAACCUUUUAAUCUGGCCCCAGUCAGUUUCUUAUCUUGUAUUCAAUUGGCAGGGUGUGUUUCAUAAGCUCAGAAGCUGCAGUGGCUAAGUUUUUCGUUUUCCCUGUGUUGAAUUACUUAAUAGAAUUGACAGUACUAGAUUCAUCCUUAUUUCUGUCAGAUCCAGCUCCUGUUUUUUUUUCCUCCAUUCUACUUUGUUGCCGUUUGUGCCGCUGCUUUGACUGAAAGUACUUCUUGCUGUUUUACCUGUAUAUACUUGAGUGCUAGGUCAUUUUGACUUUAUUAGAUUCAUAGAUUUUGCUAUCUACUGGGAUAUACCCUAUGUCAAGAUGCAUAAUAAUAUCUAUGCAUCUAUAUGCAUCUUGAAAAGCCAAAACGGCCUAUAAUUUGGAACGGAGGGAGUAUUACAAAACUGCUAGCACUAUGCUCAUAGUCCUUGCUCAGAUUCAGCUCAUGCUGUUUCGUCCUGAUUUCCCAGGUAUUGUUACUGGUGCUACUGCUGUGUAGGAAUUAUUAUGCAACUUUGCCGGGCUGAAGCAAAAAAAUGAUUUAAGGACCCAGGGAGAUGAGAAUGAAGCACCGAAGCGGAUGGACAAGUAGAGCACUAGCAGCGAAGUGAGGAAGUGCUCUUGUCUGUAUUCAAUCUGGCUCGGCGUCUGGGACCUCUACAUUCCCUGAAUCAUGCAGACCACUCCACUGACUGCUGUGGUAUUGGCAGGCGAAGAGAAGUGAAUGUCCUCAAGGCUUCAGGGAGUCGCUGGGACAGCUGGGUGAUGCAGCAAUGGAUAUUUGAGCAUUCAGAUAGCUCGGAUCAUGACUCCAGAGUCAUGACUGACUGGAGGGUCGAGCUUGAUAUUCAGGUGGCUCCGGUAGCUUACGGGUUGGAGCAGACCUGGAGAUGCAAUCUUACAUUGCGGCAGCUUAUAUGCUUAUUCACCUGGCGAAAAUUGCAGCAUCUGAUGAUGUAUCCUGAAAGCCAAAAAGGAAAGGGGACAAAUAAAGGCAAAACAAGGGCAAAUUCGGGACAGGUCAAAUUCUGCGGAGGCAAAGCAAGGCGGCCGAAACACAGCCGAUUGCAUCAGUGGGCUGGAAUCAUUUAGGCCCAAUUAAAACCCACUGCAAAUCCACUAGAGUCAGGCAAGCGCUCGCUGUGCUGCAGCUGCUGUAAGAAGAUCCGCUCCCGCUCAAAAUAAUUUUUUUUUUGUGCUCGGUGCAUGUUGAACUCAACUAAUAAAACAAGAAACGGGUCAACAGGCAGGUGAUAGAUUAAUAAUCUGUAAACAAAUGCCGUAGACAAAGCAAGCAAUUAGUUCCGCAGGCGCGCUGGUAAAACACACACGGCGACCAACUAAACAAAGAGACGAGCGGCAGCUUUGUUGCGUAUCCAUGUGCGCAUUGCGGAAGCAGACGGCAUCGACCUGAGGUGGCAGCAAGACCAAGCGGUAGCCAACAAACGCCCGUGCCGGGGACUCAGUUUUUUUCAGAACAGGAACCGAUGCCGCCGGCUCGAACAACAGACAAGAGCGUGGAGCUGCAAGUAGCCAACUCGGUAGCAGCUGGGACUGAUUGAGCUUGACUGCUUGAGUGCCACAGGAGGAGGUAGGCAGGUCACCAAACCCUGAAAGGCCUGAAACCCAUUGCCUACUGCUGCUGCUGAUUGCGGCCACGCACGCCCACUGUUCCGUGGGACCCAGCGGUAUCGUUAUCGUUCGUUUCGCCUCGGCAAACAAAACCGCUGAUCAGUGGGAGCAAGUGGUAAUGGUAACUGGUAUCGAUAUCGUACGAUCGCAUGAGACCCCAACGGCUGAGAUGCACGCAUCUGCAGCGACGGACGACGCUACAGCCCCGUUCCGUACGAACAGGGCACAGCCACAGCCCACAGGUACGCGUGUGAUCCUACACGUGACCGGUCGUAAAUGAAACGCGUCUGAAACCGGGUCACAUGACGUUGGACGCGCGCGCGCGAGCGCUGGCCACCACCACUCCCCGUCGCGGCCUCGCCCAUGGCCCGUUGCCUACGCGAAAACCCCCGUCACCCUGCCCCCGGAUCGCGUAGCAUCUGCCCUGACCCCCCGGCCCCGAGCGUAGCAGUGGAGUGUACUCCACACAAGUCCGUGUCUGAUCGUAUCGGCCGGCCGGCCGGCCGCCGGCCUAAUUAAUCGGCCACCAAACAAACCCUUCCUUCCUGGGGCUGAGCGUGAGCGCGGGGCCUGAUCGGGAGGAGGGGGACGGCGAGUUAAGAGCGGCCGUCGAGGGUCACGCAGCGCCAGCGCGGACGGACGACGGCGCGUCCGGCGAUGGGGUUUUAUUGCUGUCACGGACACGUACGCCUCCGCAGCUCCGCUGCCCCUACGGGCGCGCGGUUUCCGUUGCGGACCAAAUCCAGCAAGUACGGGACAGCAGCGCAUUGGGGGGACGGGAGAGUACGGGACCAUGGAAAUUGAACAGUGCCUGUCGCCCGGACCUGCUUGGCAGUGAUGUCGAAAAAAUACCGAAAUUUACAGAUUCUCCGUGCAAGCAUUGGUCGGUAACUUUGUGCAAGGAAAACUGUGAGAUUCUAAAUUGGGAUCUGCUCUGCUCGCCGGAAUGAGGACGGAGGAAGACGGCUUUGAUUAGUUGAGGCGUCCCAAUCGGGUCACGUGAACCGGAAGCGUCCAAGCCAACCAGAGCGAAGGCGGUGGUAUGGCAGCACGCCAUGCAUUUGGAAGGUUUUGGGCCUGUGAGCGCGACGGGCACGACGCUGCCGCAGAUGUCCGGGAGGAGCCAGCACUACUGGCGGGGGCAGACUGUUCUAUCCUAUCCAGUUUUCGCGUCAGAUGCCAAGCUCAAGCCACGGACAGUUCGGAUUUAUAAGCUGGCUGAAAAGUUGAAACGCCUGAUUUGUUGUGAGAGAAAAACACUGUUCAGUGACUGAUAAGCUGGCUGAAUAAGCUGAAGCGAACAGACCCAAGCCACCCACCCUAGGUUGCGAUCACUGGCAGUUUGUGACCACGAUGUGACCUCUGGGGUUUGCGCUUGUAGCGGCGAGCACUGGAACGUGUGCUUCGGCAUGAUCCUACAUGCAUGGUCAGGUCACGGGAGUGGACUUCAGAUGCUGCAAUGCUGCGUGAUGGGUACAACUACAAGGCAUAAAAUUGGAGUGGUAAAACUCACUGGAAAGCUCGUGAAUAGACAUCCUGUGCAGUACACGAACUUGUACGAGCGGACAAAUCGCCAUGGGAGUUCUUCUAGCACUAGCACACACAGAGGAGGAAUAUUUCAAAUUUGGAUUGAGCCAUGAGCCUGGAGAAGUCACCCCUCGAGAUCAGAAAACCAGAUUCCACACCCCAACCGCAAGCCAGAAGCCGGAACACGCACUCGCUCCCAUAAACGGCAUGCAUGCAUGGGCGCCGGCGCCCAGAGGAUAAACAACGCCGCUGCUCCUUGGAGCUCACGCCACAUGAUCCGAACCGAGCACACCACCACGACGACCACACCUGGUACGUACAUCCCCUGACGCACUGACUGACCCCUGGCCUCGUGACCGCGGAACAGUGGCCGUGCACGCGCGCAUUCACGACCCCUCACAUGGACGAAGCCAUCGACGCGGCCGGGUGAAAGGGACCCGAGCCGAGCCGAGCGAGGCCAGGCCGGCAGCGGCAGCGCACGGCCGGCCGGCGCCGUGGACGCAAACCGCCGAGACGCGCGCGGCCGCGGAUCACAUGCGCGCGGCGCGCCCGAACCCGCGCCGCAACAGUCGGCUCGGCAGCCUAGCCCAACCAAACCCAACCACCGAGGCAGACCACAGAGUGAGGGCAAUCGGACAAACAAUAAACCCAUGGAGUACCGUGUAAAGCGAACAAUUAAGAUUUUUUCGUAAUGGCGGUAGUAAGGAACAGGAGGAGAAGUGAAGGCAACAAGUAGCAAGCCAACAAGAAAAAUCCCCGGGGAAAAAGUGGGCUACGUACAGCGCACCAGCAGCAAUGGCCAAAGCACAAGCAAACGAAGCAUGCACCAACUCCGACGACACGGCGACGACCAGGACGGACGGAGAACGGGCGGGAGGAGGAGCCGAGGAAGGCAGCCACGGAGCCACGCACCCCAGGCGCUCCCUCGCUCGCUCGAGUCCGUCCCCACCCUGCUCCACAUGGGGACGGUCGGAGGUGGACGGCAGAAACGGACGACGGCCUGUGACGACUGACGAGCCGAGAGCGUACCAUGUACCUACUCCCCCUGGCUUGACGCGGCGCUAGCUGUGGCGCCGGUGGGGGCCGCUGGUGCCGGCGGCGGCCUGGGCGGCCAUGGCGAGCUCGAACUGCCGCAUGUCGAGCGCCGGCAGGGGCAGCGGGUACUGCUCCGGCGGCUGGUGCUGGUGCUGGGUCGCCGGCGCGGCGGCGGCCGAGGUGGACGCGGACGCGGACGAGGAGGAGGAGGAUGCCGGUGGUGGGGGCGGCGCGGCGCGGUUCCAGGAGCGGAGGCUGGUGGUGGUGCUGGUGCUGCCGUCCCAGCCGAUGUGCGCCACGUGCUUGACGUCCGUGGGGAGCCCGAUCACCAUCUCCCGUUCCUCCUCCUCAUCGUCCUCGUCGUACACCGCGAAGAUCUGGGACAGGUUCUUGAACCCGCGGAGGAGCCGCGCCACCAGCGACUCCCCCUUGCCCGCCGCCGCCGCCGCCGCCGGCCUCGCCGACGCGCCGCCCGGCACGACCCCGAACUCAAUCCCUGCUACAUGUCAAUCAAAUCGAGAAGCUUCAGUAACUUGCACGCGACACGCAUGGCGGCCAGGCGGCACGGGAAAGAAUCAAAGCUGCUUGUUCCUGUCAAUUGGCACAGCACGCACGUACCUUGCGGGUGGGGCUUCUUGCCGGCGUGGCGCGCGGUGUCGACGACGUCGACGCUGGAGUGGGAGCGGCAGCCGGAGGAGAAGGGGAUGGCGAUGAACCGUCGCGGCGGCUGGUCCUUGCUCAUGGCAGGCACUGCUGCUGGAUUAUCCACGUUUGGACAGCCGCGCGGCGCCGAACCCAACCGGAACUGCCCCUUGACCUGCUGACUGCUGUUGGAGCAAGCACCAAGCCGAGCAGAUAGCAGCAGCGGCAGCCGGGCAGGUAGUGAGCCUUUACUCCAGCGAAAAGGGCGCGUUAGGUCCGCACGCGCGCGCCGCAGCACUGGCCCCGCCGGCCACUGGUCGCCCGCCAAGUUCGUUGCAGCGCAGCGCAGCAGGGGAAGAGGCGAGCGGAGCGGAGGAGGGCAGCCGAAUACUAUAGGCGUAGUAGGCGUAGAAGUGGUGGCGCCACUACCAUGGCAUACAGCCUACUGCUCCUACUUCUAUAUUGACGUGGCCGCGGCGCGGCGCGGUGUGUGCCACUGCCAGUGCUCUCCUCUGUGGGGGUAGGAAAGAGACGGGGCGCGGCGGGGCCGGAGUGGUUUGCGGAUGGGGUUUGGGUUGGGUGGGUUGGUGUUGCUGUUGGGUUCGGUACCCACGCCACCCGAACCCCAACGCCUUUGCGCCGGGUGCAAUUGCGAUUUGCAAAUGCCGCAGCGGGCAGGUCGCGGCAGACAUGCGCACUGAUGGGCGGAUGGGCUUGGUUGGGUGUGCGCGCUGCAGCCGGAGCGAGCGAGCGGCCGCCCCGCCGGCGGCUCCGUUCGUGCGCCUGGGACGACCUGGACCAGCGCGAGCGCCCAACUGCUCCUCCACAGCCCUCGCAUCUCCUCUCUCUCAGUGGCCGCCGCUCCGUGCCGUGGAGAAGGGCAUCAGCAGAGUCUCCCGAAGUCUGAACCUUCGGUGGACCAAUGCGGCGUGGACGCUCCCGUGGUCCUGGCGGUGUGACGGUGUUCAUGUCACGUCCCGCGAUGUUUCCAGAUUCCAGCUUUGCCAGUGGGCCAUUGGCACUGGCUACGGGGAUGGAUUUCCGGUGUCGUUUUACCUUGCUAAUCGGCCUGCUCUUGUUUGUACUCGCGUACAUCAUUACUGAAUACACAAUGAAAGAAAGUCCCCGUAACAUGAGUGCGAUCGUAUUAUCCGUUUUGGGAGAAGUUCAGGUAUGAUAAAGACCUGCUACGCAAGCAAGCAGACGAAGUUUAGACGAGUUCCUUCGAUAGACAAGGGGAUACUGUUCAACGAAAGGAAGAAAGAAUAGUGGCUCAGUAUCUUUGCUUCUCUAUGGAAAAAAAAAUGAAAAAGGAAUACAAGACAACCAGGAUCCAGUAACAGUAAACUGUUGACUACCUCAUGGGCUUACCCACAGCGAGAUGGGCCGGAAAAUUAUGGACAAAAAAUUUGUGGAGCAGCAUGAAGCAACCGGGCGGGCUGUGACUUAACUUCUCUUGGGCCUAAUAUAACACUCAGAUCAAGGGAAGGGCCCAUUUGUUUCGAAUAGUGUGUGUGAUUGUGUGAAUACGCGCAUCUCUCAAUCUCUUCUCCUCCAUGUCACGUGGACUCUUUUACUCUGCCAUCCUGCCCCCAUUUCGGUGCCGUAUUUUUCUUCGGAAGAGUAUGCAUAAGUAUUGGGAUGAACUGGUGGUGUUAAGAAAAUGCACAACAGGGGUCGUGACUCGCGAGAAGACAAAAGCUGAGAAGAUUAGGCUUAGAAUUGGACCGUGAACAAAGUUUUGUUAUCAUCAGAUGGUGACAGGAACAAUUUGGCAGUUCAGUUCCAACAUCCAACCAAGAAAAAUAAGGACAGGGUAGAUGCUCAUGUGAUCAAACAAGCGGAUGCUUUGGAAUAGAACAGGUAUAAUCAUUGGCUCUUGGUGCUGGUUAGUCAAACCUAACAAUCACUCUGAAAUGUAGCUAUACUGCUAUACACGCAUUGCGUAAUGUCAUUUUUAUUGCAUCGUAACAUACUUGAACAAUCAAUCACAUCCCAAAAAAAAUUGUAUGAAGCAGCAAACACCAGUUUUGGUGUUCGCCAGCUCAAACAGCUUGAUCGAUCAUUUGAAUUCACCUAAGGGUUUCAACUUCACGGAUUCCAUAGUGGCGGCAAUUCACCGCUCACUUCCUCCUCUAAGAAGAAGCACAGGAAGAUCACGGUGAAGGUGAGGAUGCGAUGGACGUGAAGAGAGCCUAGAUAAUAUAUAAGGCAACGGCGGCGAGCUCGAUCCAUCAGAAGAUGUCGAGGAUCUCCUGGAUGAAUCCGUUGCAGAGCGGGCAGUUGCCGCGGCUGACCCAGAGCUCGCGGGAGCAGAGCCGGCAGAAGGUGUGGCCGCAGGGAAUGAAGGCCGCGCCCUUGUGCCGCACCAUGCACACGCAGCACACGUGCACCAUCUCCUCCUCCCGCCCCUCGCCGUCGUCGUCGUCGUCGUCGCCCUCGCCGUUCUUCCGCGCGCCGCCGCCGCCGCCCUCGUCGUCCUCGUCGUCGUCCCACUGGCUGUCCGACUGCUCCAGCAGCGCCAUCAGCGACAUCUGCGCCGCGGGCGCCUCCUCCUUGCCUUCCUCCUCCUCCUCCUCGUGUCCCUCAUCAUCCUCGUCAUCGUCAUCUUCCUCCUGGUCGUCGCCGCCACCGUCGUCGUGGCGUUCCUCGUCGAGAUCGCGGAAGUUGUACGUCGCGGGGCGCCUGGAGCUGGACCGGGAGGAGGCGGGGCCGACCCGGGUGGACGCGACGCGCGAGAACGUGGGCGUCGCGCGGAGCGAGGGCGCGCGGGAGAAGGUGCGGGAGAACGCCGCCGCCGCCUCGCCGGGGGAGUAGUUGUACCUGUUGCUGCGGCUGUUGGCGCUGCUGCUGUUGCUGAGGUCGCCGCUGUUCGUCGGGGCAUGGGCCGCGGGCGCGGGCGCGCGGGGCUUGGGCGGCGGCCAUGCGGCCGCCGCGCGGCGGAGCCGGAGCCGGUCACGGAGCGGCUUCCAGCCACUCGUCCCGCCGCCGCCCGCGGCGUCUCCGGCCGCGGGGCUCCCGCCGACGUCGGCGUCGUGGGGGAUCUUGAGGAAGUCGCGGAUGGCCGGGUCGGACGUGGACAACUGCUCGGAAAGCGUCAUGGUCCGCCGCAUCUCCGGCCGCCGGCCGUCCAUCUCUUCGCUAGGUCGCCGCAGCCGGUUGGUGCCUGGUUCGCGUCGAUCGGGGGUGUUGGAGGCGAGUCGAUAAGGUGGCGGUAGAUGCGGGGAGGUGGCGUCUUAUGGCCGGGUUGGAUCGCGCGCGAGGAGGGGGGGAAGGAGAGAAAGAGCCAGAGAGGCGUUGUAUUUGUACAGGGCAGGUUGGAGCGGGUCUCGCGGGCUUUUUAAACGGGGGCUAAACAAUUACCGCAACGUGCGGGGGAUGGGGCCACAAUUACCGUGCUGCCAUACUGCCAUGCAUGCGUAAUCGCCGGCCUUCCUUUUUUAGGGUAGGGGAGUUCUCAAGAUGUGUAGCACCAUGCACCAAUUUUGGGAGCGUCUGGGCUAUUUGCAGCACCAAUUUUAGGUGCCAUAUAGAUCUGGAAUUUCAAUUUUCGAGAUGAUUGAAACAUAUGUUGGGACUUGGGACUGACAAUAAACCAGAAACGCACCCAACUUUUGGUUUGUAGACACUCUCCUUGGUGAGAAUUUUGCAAAAAACAAAAAGAACUUGACAAUUUUUCUUUUGAUUAGACAGCAUGAGCUGGAAAUUAAAAUAGGCCUUUUCCUGAAUCUUACUUGGUUACAUAUUUCUGUUUGCCACCUGCCAAGCUAUGAAUUUGAAUCUACCCACAGUAAAUUUCUAGUGUUCAGAGUACAGAUGAUAAUCCGAAGAAGAGUAAGCAUUUCCUGAAAGUAAAUUUCUUGUGUUCACAGUAAAUUUCCUGAGGUGGCUACUUGAACGGAUUAUGCGCGGUGCGUCUAAGCAACGGCAUGUCGACAACGGGUACUGGUUUUUCGUUCUUUACUGUUAACCACGCAUAAGAGUACGCUGAACCUCGAAAUACGUCACAAUUUUUUAACCGCUUUGACAGUGACAGAAAAUAGUAGAAAAGAACAGAUUGUACCACCCUAGUUCUUUUACGAUUUCCUCAAUCCAAAACUUCGUCAAAAUUAAAUCUUCGUGCGUGCGUGAUUCUACCAUUGAGCGUAGCUGCUCAAGUUUAUGAACGUUUAGUGUCGCCGACUCAACGAUGAAGUCCAAACAGGGGAGAUGUACACUCGAAGCUCCCCAUUCGUCCUCCAUCAGAGCAUCAUGAUAGCUGUCCGGUUUGGUGUUUGGUUGGAGAAGGACGACGACGACGACGACGACGACGUCGCUGCUACCAGAUAACCUACCCGCAUUAUGUAUUGUAGGUGGCCGCGUACGUGCGCGUGUUUGGCGGUAUGUGCGGAAGCCUUCGAUUUUGAUAGGUCUGGCUGGCCAUUAGAAAAAAAGAAAGCUCAUAGACCCGCUCUGCACGCUGCCCUGCUGCUGCACUGACGCUAAUCAAUCCCUCUUGCAGAUUGCUAUUGCAACCACUCCAGUUGACCUCUCCACAGCUACUGAUCGGGUAAGGCUUAUUGGCACGGCCGGAUCUUCACUGUUGAGGUGUAAUUGGGGAGCGUGAAGGAGUUAGGUGAGGCGGCGUAGUCUGCAAGAGAAUUUUACUUGCCAUCUCCUGCUGCCCCGCAGUCUGAACUGAACGUCUGUCAGGUCCUUGCACAUGAUUUGCCAUCAAGGUAUUUUCAUUGCAACAUAGGGAAAUAGGGAAUCAUUAGCACCAAUGCACUAUACUGGUUCACGAGAGCGAUGAUCCGAGCGACAGUGUUCCAUGUGAGAUGAUGAUUGCAAUUUGGAGUGCCAAUAAUGCUCCGCGCUACGAAACAGAACAAGACCGUGCACUGGAGAAAUGCCAAAACCAGCAUUCGGAUUGGAUCCGGCGGAGCAGCAAAGUCUCGGCUGGGGCAGCCCUUGUUCUUCGCAGGAACGACACGAGGCGCCAUGAUGAGGAAGGAGGAGGGGACGGGUGGUUGGGCUGCCCCGGCACCUGUCGCUCCGCGCGCCCGGGAAACGCUGCGCCACCAACAAGCUGUGAGAGUCUCCACCGCCAGCCUGUGGCCGUUGUUGGCCGGGUUCGUUGCCUCCGCCUCCUCCUCCUCCCCGACGGCAACGGCGACGGCACGUGCGAGCUUGCUGUUAUGGGCCGGCAGGGAAGCCAGAUCCCGCCUCGUGUUCCCCCGUAGCGUAGAGCUUUGGCUGUCGUCUGUCUCAGUCUCGCAACCAAGUUGUUGUCAUAUCUUUAGAGGCGCCAACGACUUUGCUGCUGCCACUUAGUAUGGAUUGGGAAGAGAUCCGUCAGCGUCUGACGGAUGGGUGUUUAGUUGUUUGCAGAAAUAUAGUGAGUGGUAUUUCCGUGUCCAAACGGCAACAGGUGGCGGCUACUUCAACUGACAUGGCAGCACUGUCUUGCAGCUAACGGAAAUGUUGUGUGAUUUCAUCGCUAAUGUCCUGUUGCUAAGCCUUUGACAAUGGCUGACUAGAAGCCAAUAAGCCAUACGCUCUUUGAGCAAGAAAGGAAGAAAGAAAAAAUAGGAAAGGAAAAGGAAAAAAAAGGAGUGGUCACGUUUCAAAGAAAAGAAAGAGUGGUCGUAUCCAAAUGAAAUUGAAACAGGACAGUUCCAUUCAACCGGAACGCAGUGGCAGUAGACAUACGGGCGCGUCAAUCCGUGCCGCUGUCGCUCCCAGGUCCGGGCGUCCGGCCUUGCGCACGGCAUCGACGGCGAUUGGCGACCGUGCCGGGGCCCGGCUCGCCCGCGCGGCGCGGAGCUCAGGCGCGGGCUCCCGUUCGCCCGGGGCCUCCUGACGAGCCCUGCCCUUGGGCUCCGGCUCGUUCGUCAGGUGCAGUGUGCACCCAGCACCAGCAGCGUCGCUGUCACAAGGCCAGCAAAGGACACCAGCGCCGUUGCCGUGCCGUCGCCCGGACGACGAGCAACAGAUGGACCAGCUAUCGUUUCGCCAGGGAUCCGGCAUAAGAUCUUGGGCGCACUUGCGAAUCCUGACAGCCGCUCGCAAGCCAAGGACACAGGACGGGAGACGGGACCAUGGAUGCGUUUGCAAGGCUGCAGAUGUCUCAUGGACCGAGUGCCUCACACUGAUCCAAUCCGGACUCUUACCGAUGAGCAGUGACACAACAGCGGCGAGCAGCCUGUGGGCAGCCUUGUUACUCUCCUGCUAUGCUGGGAGUCCUUGCAUUGGACAGACAUGAACAUCUGAAGCCAUUUGAAGCCGUUGGACAUCACAUCUGAUCAAGUUUCAGACAUGAACAGAACAGCCCAAUCAACAGGAAACAGAAAGGAAGUUCAGUCUGUCAGGCUCACAUCUGGCAGAUUUUAUAUAAUAUCACCAAACCAAUAUGUCCAUACUUAUCAGGUUACAACCAACUAUUUAGCCUUUGAACAACAGAAAAACAAGCACACUUGCGACACCCCUAGUACAUGCGUACACACACGCUCUAUCUAAUACCUAUCCCAUAAAAAGAAACAGCAAGCACGGGCAAAUGCUCCCCAAGGGGGGAAAUGUUACAAUCACUCUACUAAGGCUAAGGGUAUGCAUUUCUUCGGCCACAGACCAAUUGGGGGCAAACCCAGAGCGCCAGAAAUGCAAAAUCAAAUCUCCUACUGGGCACCGUGCAUCGCAAUGGUCAGCUUAGCCUAUGGUUCUGGUGAUCGUGAUGCUUCCCUUCCCCCCCUCGGUGUGGAUCUUCGUCUUGUGGACCACGGGUUUCCCAGAGAUAGCCGAAGCUUGGUGCGAGUUUGGUUCCUCGUCGUUCUUGUGCUUGAUCUUGUAUGGCGGCGGGGCGUGGAUCUUCUCGUUUAUGUCAUUCAGCGUGAUGUGGCCAUUGAUACUGCAUGGCUUGAUAAGCUCGAAAGGGAAGGCCACUGACGUUCUCACCUUCUUUGCUCUGAUGAUAUUUCUUCCAGCUAUGGAACAGAUAAAAGUGAACGAGUUCAAUAGGCAGGAAGUACGACCGAUAUGCAAUGUUCUUGAAAAGGAAGAAUAAAAGCCACGGUGCUUUAAGCAAACUGUACAAGAGUUAGGCACACCUUUCAGAGGUGUAGGUCCAGCUUGAGCAGGGUUGUUGCGAACUAUGAUAGCUUGUUCACAAGGCAAAGAAUUCUGAUGCACUGAAAAUAAGCAUAGCAUUGAUUUUAUCAGCAACUUUGAAUCUGCUAUAAACGGCAAUACUGAAAACUCAUGAGAGGUUUGUACCAACCAGAGAUAUCGUUGACUUUUUCCACAGCAGUAGCAGGGCUAGUCCUGUUAAGGAGGUUCAGAAACCAUAAGAAGCAAUAUUGAAUCUUCAAUGGCAAUUAAUUAAACAACUAAUAAAGCCAAGCACUUAUGGAUCGGAUUACGUACAUUUCUUCAGCUGGGAGAUGAGGCUCGCUAUCUUGUGAGCAAUUAACUAACCAUUCUUCUGGCAGUUCAUCUGUCCCGUCAGAGUUCAAUAAACAGUUGGCACCUGGAGUUACCACUAUAAUUAGGAGGAACGGGAAAGAACGCACCCAGACUAAACACCAAAAGCCUAACAGAGAUGAUUGAACAUACCUUGAAAAUCCAUCACUUGCAGACUUUCUGAAAGCCCACCAUCAGUAAUAGGACAGGUCAUCUGGAAUAAGAAAGGCAUUAUACCAAAGAAGUCAAUACAACAUACCACUGCAUCUAAUAAUCAAAUUGACACAGUUGCUGACAAUAAAAACACUAUGAAGUUCACUUCAUUUUAAGAAGGGGGGCAUUGAUAGAUCCAUCAUAGAGCAUAUACCUCAAUAUUUUCAGGACAGAACUGCAGCAUGCGUCUGCGUUUAGCCUGUAAAGUUUCCUUCCCUUCUUCAAAGUCCUUGACGAUGAUAUCUACAUUCAAUCUUAACUGUUUCAGAAAAUGCAACUAAUAUUGAAGCACAUUUUCAGUGUUUGACAAAAAGGCCAGACGAAAUAUAAUUAGGAAAUACCAAGUGGAAUCCAUUGCUAUAAUUAGAUCACAUCCUACAUAAUUGCAUAUAGGACAAUUUUAACACGGGUUCGAAGUAAACAUGUGCAAGAGGGAAAUGACAACCAGCUGACUUUUUAUUUUAUUAGUCAUUCUGCUUUGUAUAUGUACACUUGUGGAGUUACAAGUUACUAUGGUUAUUACGAGGUAGCGUCAUUAACACAAUUUCAGAGAGCUGAGAGAAUUUGAUAACAUUUUUUUCUUGAACACAAUUAGAUAACAUAUUAACGUGCAACUGGUUGUAUGCAGACUGGUUCAGUACAGGUCAUUGGCAAUUGAAAACCAUUUAUGCAGAUAACUUGGUGAAAUUGUUCAGAAUAUACAUUUAAGGUGAUAACUGUUGAUUUCAUAACCAUGAGAACAAGACAUUACCUCCUAUAUCACAGAACUGAAAUUCAAAGUCUGUACAAUGUUUAAUUGGAGUUUGCUCAUCAAACAUGCUCCAAUCAUCACCCACACUGUUGCUUGCUUCAGCCCACAAACUGCUGCAGGGAUCUGCCAAAUCAGAAAUACAAGAUGCUCAGCUACUUUGGGUAGAUACAUAUUUAGGGCAGAAUGAGUGAUGCAAAGUGUGGGGCAAACCAGCUAACAGAUCUUUCUGCAGACAAUACUCCUGACUUUGCCAUCCCCAAAUCUCUCUGUAAGAAGUUCCACAAUGACAAGCGCAGUUAGAAGUGAGCAGUCAUGCACAGACUUGAAGAAAUUUUCAGAUCAAGGAGUGAAAGCACAGAGUAUAAAAGUCUGCCCAAUCUAAUGUUGUAUGAAGGGUAAAAAAUUUUACAGUGAAUGAUACUUAACACCUGAACUCAAUGUUAAACUUGGGGAAUAUAGCUUGUAAAAAUUUUCACAGUGAAAUUAUACUGAAAACCAGAACUCGAUGUAAACUUGGGGAAUAUAGCUCAUAAAUUUUUUUACAGAGUUAUAUUGAACACCUGAACUCAAUGCUAAACCUGGGGAAUAUAUAUAAUGAACUCUGCAGCUGUGCUAACUACUGACAUGAAAGGCAGAGACACGGUACAAUUUCCAUCUUGCGGACAAGUCAACAUUGCUAGUGUUUCUUGUGGAAUGCAAGAAUUUUCAGAAAUCUCAGACAGCAGACUUGUGCCGGGCAAAAGCUUGUGAUAAUAAUCUAAUAAUGCAACGGAAUAUAACAAGAAAACCAUAAAUCCUUGGAUAAGUAAGCAAAUGCAUAGAAAGUGCUAGCCAAAACAAGACCACACAGCACGAAAUUUCUGAUGAACACGACGAGCAGCAACCCGUAGCUAGGGUUUAACAGCAAAAGCCCAAAACACAAACAACUACUACUAACUGAGGCGCCGCAGACCACAAAAGGAGCCAACGCCACACCAAAAGCUUCGUACAAAAGAAAGGAAACCACGAUCCUUGGCCCCCAUAAUUAGAAGUCUUUACCCCUUCUCCCUUACAUCAUCAUCAUACGCUACAUAAAAAUCACCGAAAAAAGGCGCAGUUGGUAGCAACUUGCACUAGUACUGCACCCAACAUCCGUACCAAAGAGGGCGAAAUUGGGGAUCAACAAGGGCAGGAAUCGAAGCGGAAAACAGAAAUAAACCGCGGUUUCGUCCCCCAGCCCAGCCACCAAAACGCCGCCUUUUCCGCGCCAUCCCGCCGUACGACCCCGAAUCACGCGCGACAUGAUUAAGUAUAAGCCCGGAGAGAGGGAGAGCAGCUCACCCCUGAUCACCAAUGGCGCCGUCGAAAUCCAUCCCCGCUCUCCGAGGGCCACGGAUUGGAUCCAGGAUUCGGAGCAGCUAGCACUCCAUCCACAGACAACGAUAGCGACGAAAGGUUCUCCCUCCCUCCGCGCCAACGAGGGGGGGCAGGUGAGGAGGAGGAGGUGGAAGAAGAAGUGGGGGGUGGGCAGUGGGCAGUAGGCAAGGCAGUUUCAGCGCUCGCCGCUCUCCCUCCCUCUGCCUCCUGUCCCUUUCUCUCUCUAGACAAGUCCAAAAAACCGAUGCUUUUAUCUCCUCUCUCACUCUAUAUAUAAAUUUGUGUGUGUGUCUCUCUCUCCUCUCCCUCUCCAAUGCGACAGCACAGUCUGCAGCGCAGCGGCACGGAGCCCGACGGAAACACAACGAAAGCAGCAAGGCACUGAUUAUCUUAUGACUAAUCCCAGCAACCGGUCCCUCCCCCGCGACGCGAUGAUCCUGCCGCGGACUUGAUUAAUUUAACCACACCUAAUCGCGAUUAUUAAAAGGCGGUUACCGGAGCAUUUGCAGGAACGCCCCUCGCCACUCGCCAGGCCGUGAAAAUUGCCGAGGAAGCUGUUGACUGGGCUUUGGAAGCUUGCACGGGAAGGAAGCCAAAGCCCAAAGCAAAUCCACGGGGUUUUAUUUGGUAAUUCUGGGCAAUUACUGCUGGUAACAAGUUUCAUGUACAUCCAAAGCGGAAAGGGAGAAAAUGAAUCGAACGCUACUCCGUUUUAGUAAAUGUUUUAGUGAAUGCUACAACGUGUUAAAUAAUGAUGAAAUUUAUUUGUCACGGCAGAAAUGGCAUGAGCAACAGUAAAUGUGCAAGCGUCAGAGGUAGAUCGGGGCAUUAACUGCGGACCCUGAGAGCUCAUGUGAUCCGGAGCAUUGAAGACGACGCUGUUAGGUGGGCCCGCUGGAUCCAUCUAUUCCGUGGCCCACAUGUCGGGAGGAGCUCCCUCCCUAUCCCGUUGUGUUGUUACAGGCACAUGGAGGAGCGUUGUGGCGUGAACAAAGUUCGAAGAAUGUCAGCCCUCUCAUUCGUCAGGCUCUGAUUAAUCAAAGGUUAUCCGAAAUCGCUUUAAGAUUGGGGGCGAGAUAAAAAAAAAGGGAAGCAGUAAGCAGUCUUGGCCGUGCGUGAUGAGCUGGCGCGGAUAGAAAGCGUACUUGCAGUAGUAAAACCGCUAGUACUUGUGCAGGUCGGUCAAAAAACUGUUAAAAAGGUGGUGCGGGCGAUUGGGUUUGGAUCUUGAUCUCGGUUGUUAUUACUGAUGGGGUGACGGAUCACAGAUCUGUUUACCGGCGAGGUUCUUGACGGGACCAUACGGCCUCGUGGAUCGUGUGGCUACCUUUAAUUUUCUCACGAUUACACAUGUCGGAUCGCCGGAAGUAUUCGCGAGGCGUUCGCCGGAAGUACAGAGGAUCACCGUUGCCGUUUGCAAAGGAGAUCGGACGCCGUGCGUAGAGAUUAGAGGAGUAUACGAUAAAUUCUAAAUUCGGUGCAUAAAAAUUGGGAGUGUCUAUAGCUCACUUAGGUGAACAGAGACUCCUUACAUGAAUUUCUGAGCUAUUGGAUUUAAAACCAGCAGCUUAGAUCCCUCCUAUCUCUCCAUUAUCUCCCCUUCCCACCCUCUUCUUCAGCCUCCUCCCCCCUCUUCUUCUUCCUCCCCCACCCCUCCGCCGCCCGCCGCCCAGGCCCUCCCCUACCCCUCUGGCGGCGUGGAGCUCCGGCGAACCUUAGCCCACCCGCGCCGGUUGCCUCCUGCCCCUCCCGCCGCUGCCUCCUACCGUCACCGUCACCAUCGCCGCCCCCGCCGCCGUGCCUCGCCGCCCCCGCACCCACCACCUCCACUGAACCAGCCUAUUAAGGCCGGCGGUGAGCAACCCCACCCGGCAAUCCCCGAACCCCUAACCCUGAACCCCUAAUCUCGCUGGAAUCUCAUCGGAGUUGGAGAAGAAAGUAUUUACUACGAAAUCAAGGGAAAUUGGGAUUUCAAGUUCUUACUAUGAAAUCAGGGGUUGGGACGGAUAUCAUGAUUCCUGUACGAUGAGUUUUACAUACGGUGCAUAGAGAUUGGAACUUCAGUUCUUACGAAGUUCGAUGAAAUCAGGGGUUGGGACGGUUCCUUAUCCUCGUUCUGCACUCGCAAAUUCCGUGAAAUUUGUAUUCAUCCUACCCUUGCUAUUACGUUUUCCUUUCCUAAUACUAAUAUCCCGUAAUGGAUCGCAUCAGGUGUACCAUCAGGAGUACGUAUUAUAUCCCCAACUCUCCGCACUUACAGGAGUAGCCCAAUACAGACAAAAGUCAGGUGGCAGAUCUGCAGGCAAAAUAACAAACAAGCCAUGGUAUCCUCAUUGCCUGCUCACGGUAAUCACAGGCUUAUCAACAUCGAAAUCAUAACGGUGACACGUGCAGCUCACGAUCUCCAACACCUCAGCAACAGAAAACUAACCAUGACCCUCGCCUCCGUGCACAGGGCGUACAAAGAGGCUCCGCAGAACGGAUGGACGGCAAAGCAAAGCUCGCUUCGAGGAGGCAAAACAAAUCACCGGCGAUCAUUGGGAGUACACACAGGGCAAGAUAUAUUAGGGGAUAGAUAAACGAGUCACAACACGCCAGAGUAUCGAAUUUCUUACUAAACAAGACUACUGAUGUCCUUCAGCAAUGGCACACGGAGAGCCAGAGCCUCACAAGUUGCCUCUCGAGACUUCUUUAGUUUCACUACGGAGGAAGGUAGAGCGCACGGCAGCGCUGCAAAAGGAGGCCGCAACAGGGGGCUUCUAAGCGCUAGGCACGUAGCCUCCGGUCUGGUGAAGCAUGGCGUCGAUCUCGUCGCCGUCCUCCAUCUCCAGCUGAACAGUAGAGAAACAAAACAUCAGUUACGCAUUCAUCUCUGUGUUAAGGGAGUUACUGCGAGCGAGUUUGCAGGCACACGCACCUCAUCAGGGGUCUGCUCACCGCGAAGCCUGCGGCCAUCAAAAAGGAAUGCAAUGGCAUUCAUGUCCACAGACUGGCGGUCGCAAUAGGCAUUCAUCAGCUUCUUCAGCUGGGUGGACCUCUUGAUGCGGAAGAACACCUCGUUGCCAUCCUAUAAUACGAGAGUAAGAGACAUAAAAAACUUGGCAAUGAGAAAUCAGAACAUUGAAACCUAAAACAAUCCAAUCUGUAAUGUAAAAAUGCUGCAACAUCCAACCUAAUCUUGAUCAGUAAAGGGAGAAUGCAAUCUUAAUCUCCCAAAUCAAUUGAUCGUACUAAAAAACUUAGUUAAAUGCAAGUUUCAACUUUUUCAUAAGACACAUGCUUGGAUUUCUGGAUAAUGCUUGAAGGAUGUCUCAAGUUAAAAAAGAAUAGCCAAGCAGAAUACUUAUAUUAUAAAAAAAAGAGCUCCACGACACUAAGUAUAAACAAAGUUUUAAUUGCACAUGCUGAAUGCCAUCCAGCAAAACAACACAAACCCCAGACCGACUGAAACAGGUCAGUGUUGGAUAAAUGUUUCAAUUGCAUAGUAAAUUAAUAUAGUCCAGGUAAACUAACCAAUUAGCAAGCAUGCAAGCUGAUGUUCAUCAGGUAAACCACUUAUGAACAGGCAACUUCAACAAUUCUUGAAUGGAUUGCAACAAGGGUUUCAGUAACCCAAGACUGACAAAGCUACUAACACUUCAAGCAACCUGAGCCAAGCGUGGCAUAAAAAAACUAAUAUACAGGUGCAGAUAAUAAUAACUAGUAGCCCACAUCCCAUACAACAGUAUAAACAAGUAUGAUCCUAAAAACACAAAAAAAAUAUCCAGUGCUAAAUUUUCCCAAUCAUGUUUCAACUGUUACAAAUAUCUACAUAAACAUAACAGAAGAGGAUUCUGAUAGAGUUCGGAUUACAUAUUGACUAAUCAGUUGAGUUAUGCAUAUCAAAUCGAAUUAAACCACCUACACAAAUGAGUACUUCAAGAAUUAACAACUGCACAGAGGAUCCGAUCAACAGAGUUAAUAACGCUGUGAAGUGAAGACCGGGGUAAGGUAAAUUACACGUGAGACCAAGGCACCUAACUUUAUAGAGUUCUAAUUGCUGCUGUUAACAAACAUCUAUCAAAAUUUAAAGAUGAGCAGUGUGGCAUUGUCCCUAGUACAGAUAGACUAAUCAACAAUUGAUGCCCUGUUCAUACAGUUAUUAAUGCCAAUAGUAGCAAUCCAGUUAAAAAUGGGGUCAACACAAGUCAAUCUAAAACACAGAAGUGAUUGAUCGCGACUUGGGAAACUACAUGCAAGGCGCAAUCGCCGAGAAUCUAAUAGCACGGAGACUUGACACCCCUAUCAGUCCCCAAAUUCACGGAAACCCUAGUGAUCUAAGCAACCACUACAUCGCGAUGAUCGCCGCAAGGGCGAGACAGAGCCACCAAAAUCGACUUAACCCUAAACAAUCCUAAGCAACCGCUGCAUCGCGACGAUCGCCACAAGGGCGAAACAGAGGCUAUUCUUUCGAAGCCGAAGGAGAUUAGGGGGAACCGUCGCCGCGCAUACCUGUCCCUUAACCUUGAGGUUGAUGUGGGCGCCGCCCUCCGCCGGCUUCUUGUCCUCCUCUCCGUUUCCCGACAUCGUCGUCGAAGGGCUCCGAGCGCAGCGGCCGUCAGAUUUCGCGGCGGAUUCCGGCGAUCGAUUGGUGGCGGCCGGAGCGGGUUGCGGGUGGGGCUCUGU
RNAcentral lists this long non-coding RNA (51225 nucleotides) under Setaria viridis. Its description in RNAcentral is "long non-coding RNA (SVIR_LNC006199)". The record is from RNAcentral. Lineage: Eukaryota; Viridiplantae; Streptophyta; Magnoliopsida; Poales; Poaceae.